Molecule: long non-coding RNA, 68263 nt
Filed under: Podarcis lilfordi (Lilford's wall lizard)
Lineage: Eukaryota; Metazoa; Chordata; Lepidosauria; Squamata; Lacertidae
Rfam family: tRNA (bases 3668-3726)
Source: RNAcentral
GUUUACUCACUGAGGCUGUUUGUUUCUCCAGCAAUCCGUUGGUGAGUGGCUGUUCCCCAUUCUCCCUUGAGCUUAGGUUUGAAUUCUCAAAAAUUGGGGCUUCCCACCUCUCUCAAAAAGCUCAACAACUUAGCCCUGUACCCCUGGCUGUCCUCCUUCCUUAAAAAAAGUUCAACAACUUUGACCUGAACCCCCCAAAAGGGGGUAGAUCACUGCCAGUUUUUAAUUCUGUCUCUUGGGAGUUGGCCACCCCUGCUCUAUACAAUCUGGAUAAAAUACGGUCUUUAAGCAUAGAGGUUAAGAAGGAAUUAGAUGUUGUUGCGUGUCGAGUUCCCCAAGACACCCCCACCCCAAUAACACACACUUCACACAGAAUUUUUGUUUAAGGUUUUUGGCAUAAUUUUGGCCACAACUUUAUUAACAUACAUGGAUGUGAGUGAGUGGUUGCUUAGGCAUUGGUUAGGACUAUCUGUCCCCCCGCCUGGGGACAGAACUGACCUCUGGAUUCCAGCAAAAGUCAGUGAGGGGAAACAAUGUUGGGGAGAACUGGAGCUACGCCACAGGCCUCAGCUUCUCCCCGCAUGCUCCCAGGGGCUUAAGCAGCCCAAACCCGAUUCCAGGGGUUUGGACGAAAGGAUGGCAAGCCCCUGAAUUCCUUUAAUGGAAUUCCCUUGCAGCAGCAACAUUGGAGGGGCAGGCCCAGCCAAUCCUUACCCCACCUCCAACCAAUUUUAACCAAUGCCUAACCGCAACCUUACAAGUUGUGACGAUUUGCUACGCAGUCGGCAAAAACCAAAUGGCCUCAGCCAAUCAGCCAAAUGGACAAAAUUCCUACCAGGCCCCUGCCCCAACGGCAGACGACCCCAUGACAGGCAUAGCAAGGUCAACGCACAAGACCCAAAUUAAGGGAGGGAGGGCGGAUGAUCCGGUACACGCAGUGAAAGAGAAAGCAGAUCGCUGUGAGCACUGUUUAAAAAAUCUCUGUUCCCACCCCCAAACUGGCAACAUCAAAAUUACCCCAGCAACUCAGGCUACCAAUCCCUGCCAGAGGCAUCCCAUCCCAAACUGCCUGGCAACAGAAGGGUGUCUUGGCUGCCCCCACUGCAACACAUGCUCUCUUUUAAUGAGAACACACUUUCUAAAAUGGACUUUCAGCCAGGCCUUGAUUGUGGAGAGCCAUGCUUUGGUUUUCUGUCAGAUGUUGACCAGAUUCAGCACAUAAGGUUAAAUAAUUUACGCAUUUAGGGGCACCAAGGAUUUUAUGAAGAAAGGUUGCUUGAAUUUGUUCAACUUCUCUAUUAAAUGCUUGUAUCCAAAUUGGAAUACCACAUGUUUGAGUGCACACAUUUUAAAACACAACUAUCACUGGCGUGCUGAUGUCACUCGCACAUGGCACACGGCGUCACCUCCCUCAAUUGUGGGGGCCAGGCAAUGCGCUUGUUGGUGGGAAAGAAUUGUUAUCUCCUUCGCUUACAUAUGAAAAGAAGGGAGUCCAGGUUUCAGCAAAGGUAUCUCUCUUGGUAACCAUUUUUGCUUCUCUUCUAAGUUGAAUUGGUCACUCCAAGAUAGCCACAUUGCAAUUUUAUUAUUUUUCCUGGCUCAUGCCUGUUUUAUUUAUUUUUUACCAAAAAAAAAUGUAUUCAGUUUUACUCUAUACAUUUAAAUUCAAACAUUAAUCAUCAUCAUCAACAUUCAGAAUUCCUGAAACCUUGAACUUUCCUCCACCCCUCCAUGGUUUCCAUUAUCAAACUUUUUCCACUGCAUCAUAUAUUUUCUCUGCUUUCUUGAAAUAAUCCCUUUCCUCCUUAGUUUUUAAUACAUUACAAGCGUUACUCAAAUCCCACCAAAGCUUUUAGUUGUUUACGGUGUUCUCUUAAGUAAAUUGUAAAUUUUCCCCAUUCCUUAUUAAAGUUUCUAUCUUCUUGGUUUCUGAUUUUUCUGGUCAUUUUCGCCAUUUUGGCAUAGUCCAUCAUCUUCAUCAGCCAUUCGUCUCUGGUCGGGACUUUAUCUUCUUUCCGUCUCUGGGCCAUUAGUAUCCAUGCUGCUGUCAUCGCAUACAUAAACAAUCAUUUCUGCUCGUUUAGUAUCUCUGCAUCUAAAAUUCCUAGUAAAAAAAGCUGGUUUUUUCACAAAAGUUAUGUUAAACAUUUUUUUCAACUCAUUGUAUAUCAUUUCCCAGAAUGCACAUUCAAAAUACUUUUGAACCAUACCUUGAGAGGUAGCUCAGCCCGAGAUUUCCAAAAUCAACAGAAUGUUUAUCGAGAAAAGUUACACGAUUCGACAUGACAGUGUUUUCAAAGGAAGUCAAGCAGAAUUUGGCAACAGUAAGGCUUCCGGUUUCAGCUGCAAACUUCCUAUUUUAGAGAAACGUUCUCCAUUCUGCUGCUAAAACAUGAUGCCGUUUAAAAGGUCUGGGGGUGGUGGUAAGAAAAUAGAUGUCACGAUGUUUUCGUGGUUUUGGUUUUUUAAAAAAAUGCAACCUCCCACGUUCUUUCACUUUGGUUUAAAUCCUUCUUUUUGUGUGUCAAGCCUUUAUUUAGUUUCACAGUUCAUGCCUUUCAUGUUGUCGCAAACCUUUACCGAAGAAGGUGAGGCCCCUUCUUUUUCUUCCCCUCUGAACAACUCUUUCCUGCUGUUUUACAUCACAGCUGCUACUUGCUGGUGGUCUCUGCUGCUCUUCCCUGUAUCUCUGCACCCAUAGCUGCAGACAAAGUCAGAAGAAGAAAGGAGAAAAAUUAAUGGCAUUCCUUUUAGUAGCACUUGCAACACUGGGAGAAGUUAGUUUGUAAUUAGAGCGCUGGAAAGAGAGGAUUGGCAGUGGCUGUUCAGCAAUAUCUGGAAGAAACACAGACAGAACACAGGAAGAAUUGGGGGGAAAGGGCAUUCCUGACAUUUCACCCACUUCUCAGAAUGGCUAGUUGUUCUGUGGGUAGCGCUUACCCAGUUAUAGCUUCCUCUUGGAAGAGAAAUCACAGGAAAGCGAUGGUGUUGGGGGUGGCAGUACUGUUUGUAAUAUUGGGUUUAUUAUUACCACUAAUAAUAAUAAUAAUAAUAAUAAUAAUAAUAUUUUUUAAAUUUAUACCCCGCCCAUCUGGCUGGGUUGCUUCAGCCACUCUGGGCGGCUUUCAACACUCACAAAAAAUAACAAUAAAACAUCAGACAUUAACAGUAACAUUCUGAUCCUAUAUAAAAAGUCACUUUAAAAUAGACAACUUAUCUCAAAUAAAGCAAUAUGCAAUGAUCCUUUAGAAUCCAAUAGUAAACACUAAAAUUAAACAUCAGCAAGCAAUAAACAGUUUACACUUAUCAAUUAUAAUAAAUAAUUACUCAUCUGUAAUCGAUAAAAAGAGCAGCAAAUCACAAUGCAUAAAAGACCACAAGUCAUACAAAGCCAUGUAAAAGGAUUAAAUUGAGAAACAAGGACACAUCACUUAUAAAAUAAUUUUUAAAAAACUGUCGCUGAACUCCUCUCUUCCCAGCUGCUUCUGCUAUUCUCAAAGUCAUGGUCUGGGAAAGGCUCCCGGAGCUGGAGGGUAGGGCAUGGAAAAAGCCAUUGCCUGAUGAGCAGCAGGGUUGACGAGAGUGUCCAUCCAGCGACAUGGUGCCUUCUGGAGAUUGUUGUACCAUUGCCUGCAUUACCACUCCAUGCAAGCCCUAAUCACCUGGAUAACUCAGUUGAUUUGAGUGUGGUGCUGAUAAUGCCAAGGUUGCAGGUUCAAUCCCUGUAUGGGACAGUUGCAUAUUCCUAUAUUGCAGGGGGUCACUUCCAACUCUGCAAUUCUAUGAUUCUGUGAUCAGCUGCCCCUUCAUGGAUCACUGCCUUGCCAUGGCGAAGGGGCUUGAAAAAACUCCAAGAAGCUUUGAGCUAUACCAUGCAGGGCCACCCAAGAUGGACAGGUCAUAGCCGAAAGUUUAGACUAAAUGUGAUCCACCAGGAGAAGGAACUGGAAAACCACUCCAGUAUUUUGCCAAGAAAACUCAAUGGACAUAAAAAAGGAGGAGCUUUGAGAAGAAAGUGAGAGUUUCCAAGGCAUGCUCUGGUUCAUGGGGUCACGGAGAGUCGAACACGACUAAGACGACUAAACAACAACAACAUGAUCAGCUGCAAUAUGUGGUGCCUUUACCUGCAGAUUGCAAAUUCUGCAGGCAAAAACAGGUCAUCUCACAUCACCUGUCAAACCUGGCCCACAGUGGGUGGGGGAGAUAAGGAUCUGCCCCACUGCCUGGAUCCAGUUUCCCAGCCCUGAUUUACAAAGCUAUAGGUAGACAACAGUUGGAGGCAAAGAGUUUAAUCAUUCAUCCAUGCAGCAAAGCCCUUGCCCUACAUCAGAACCCUGGUUGCACCCUGAAAUAUGCUUCCAGUUCCAAAUCUGUCUCUGUGGAGUGACUAUUCUUAUCAUAGGCACCAUCUGGGUCACCAGGGAGACCAAGGGCCCCCAAAAAAAAUUCAAGUAGGGAGCCGCCCCCAAAUGCAGAGGCUGUGUACGCACACUGCAUGAUGUACUUACCUUAAUCGCACAACGCAUGUGGCUUGCCUGUCUCACUCACACAUGCCCUGCGGCAUGCAUGUGAUACGUUAGUAUGUCAUGUGACAUGUGUGCACAGUGUCAGCACAUCAUGUGAUGUGUGUGCAUGACAUCAGUUGUGGGGACAAGGCAGCACACUUGAUCCCUAUCCAUUCCAAAAACUAUAUUUGCCUUUACAGACACAAAUUAACUCCCUCCUCUUACAUGGGGACUGGGAUGAGGAUGCGUCUUCUCCCCAUAGCCUCUCCUUGCAUUCCAAUUAUUUCCAAGUUCUUCCAGGCCUUUGACCUGAAAUUUCCCUAAUGAGGCAUGGCUGGUACAGUCUGGCCACUGACCUUUAAAGAACAUCCGCCAAGCCUUCUGGUCCAUUCCUCUUUUGUCCAAUUCCAAAUUCAUUCAUGGCAAUGAAACAGAUAUCUCAGUCACAGUGCUGCUUAGCACAUAAGAAGCUGUUGCUUCAGACAGCAUCUAUGGGGCAAGAGUACAAGAAAGUGUUCCAUUCUACAACCCACCUCCUCCCCAGGCGAAAUGCAGAUAUGCCACACAACAUCUGUCACCCAAGCCACUUGUAGCAUCAAUGCCUUCAUUUGGUCAGCUUGGACACCUUUCUUCCAAACAUAUAUAAAAAGAUAAUGAAAUUUAAAAACAUAAUAAAGCACUAAACAUUAAAAACUUUCCUAUACAGGAUUGUGUUCAGAUGGCUCAGGGGUCAGAUAACUCCAUACCCUCCAACAUUUCUCCAAUGAAAAUAGGGACAUCCUAAGGAAAAGUGAGACAAUCCAGGAUCAAAUCAGAAAUUGGGAUGGCUUCUCUAAAUCGGGGAUGUCCCUAAAAAAUAGGGAGACUUGGAGGGUCUGAAAUUCUUUGGACCUGCUUUGGUGUCCAGGUCCAUUGUGAAUUGGAAACUGUCAUUAUCUCAAAAACUACAUGAACUACAGAGUGGAACUGGCAGGUUAUAUCCCAUCCCUAUUUUCAACCAAGGCAACAAAACCCAUCCCAUAACAUAGCAAAAGACGAACCAUGAUUUCUGGUCAGACUCCCUUAGAGCUGGUUCUGGUAACACAGCAUUGAUUGACUUGUUGAAAAACACACAAGAGAGUUGCUUGCAAGAGUGUCAAAACACAGAUGUCACAAACUCAAAGUCAUAGCUCCUCUUCUGUGAAAAGAAGAGCAAAAGAAAUGUUUGUUUUAUUUGUUUAUUUAUUAUAAGCCAUUUUAUGCAACCUUUCACUGAUAUUCCCAGGAAGAUUUGUUAUUUGACAUUGCCCCCACCAAAAUAAUAAUAAAAUAAAUGAAUCCUUUGAGAGGCACAUUAGGUAGCUGUUUCUACGCCAGUCACUUGAGCCAGCACACAUGCAUGGGGAUGAUUCCCAGGUAGGUCUGAGUGCGGCUGACUACCGCAAAGCAAGAAUCAAAAUCUGGUUCUCUUAGGCCCCAAGACCAUUGCUAUUGCCUUAAAGCAGGCAUAGACAACCUUGGCCCUCCAGAUAUUUUGGGACUACAACUCCCAUGAUCCCUAGCUAACAGGACCAGUGGUCAGGGAUGAUGGGAAUUGUAGUCCCAAAACAUCUGGAGGGCCGAGUCUGCCUGUGCCUGCCUUAAACCAAGCUGGCUUUCUGUCCUUCCAAAUGUGUCCUUUAAAUCAGCUCCAGUUUGCAUCAUCUGCAGUCAAUCAUCCGGCAUGUAAUUCAUCCCUUUGGUAUUCUAAAAGGUCUACUUUUAGAAAAGAUGGUUUCGAUCCGAAACUCUUACAAUCAGUCAUUUCUUAUAACGUACUUGGUUUUAAACUGGUGUGUGCAUAGGGAGUUGGGAGUGGUCUGUUAAUCUUGGGUGGUCUCUCUCUCUCUCUUUCUCUCUUUUAAGCCAAGGUCUGAUUAAGUGUCUUUUCUCAACAGGUGACUCUUUUUAAAUUGUUUUCUUACGGCAACCCAUUUAUUCCAUGGCCUUUGUUCAGCAAGACUUGCUUUUCAAAGUUAACGAUCAUGUGUGACAACAUGCUGAGUACAGAUGGCAAACGACAAGUUUUAAGAAUGUGGGUAUUAUGUAACCUGUGCAGGAAGGUAUACAUUUAAUUUUGCUAAUUAAUGCACACGGAAUGUCUCUGCCCUGCUUUAUUUACUUGAAUAUUCCCACUGAGGAUAUGAUUCCUGACUACUUCAGUGUUUGUUACCUUGUAUUAAAGGGUAACAUGACAGAGAGAAUUGAUAAUAAAUGGCACAUUGGAUACAGGGUAUCUAUUAAAACUCAAUUAUCUUUAAGUUCCUGGGGUUGAUUCAAUUAUUCAAGUGCUGCACUGACACUAUCAGAAAUCCUAAUAUAACCAGGCAUUAUUGGAUCAGAAGUGAAUUCUUGUUUACCUCAGUAUCCGUAUUCCCAGGGAUCAUUCAUUUAUUAACAAAAUGUAUAUCCCACUUGCUCAACAGAAGGUAAGUUUAUAAAGAAGACUCUAAAAUAUUUUUUUAAAAAAACCAACACCCUUUUUCCAAUACUUUUCAGAUUAUGUAGAACAGCAAUAUUUUCUUAGCAUAGAAAAUAUGAAACUGUAAGAAAGGGAAACAAAUUAUUGAUUAAUUAGUUCCAUUUAUGGAUUGCUUCUCUUGCAAUAUCUCAAAGCGAUUCACAAUAAAAUGAUUAAAUCAAUUCUAUAUGUAAAAAGAAUUGAAACCAAUUGCCUAUAUAAAAGCAAUUCCAUGUAUUGGGGGGGGGGUCUGAAAUCCAAUACAACUAUAGACUAUUUUUUAAAAAAUACCUAAAAGGCUUGUUCAAAAAUGAAGGUCUUCAACAGGAAGCUGACUGAGUAGGGUUGACAGCCCCUAGUUUGCACAGAACGUUAAAAAAUUCAGGUGUUUUGGGAUUUAAUCAGCAAUACAAUGAAUUAAAUGAGAGGUUGUUCCUCAUCUCUGGAAUCAAAAACUUUGCUAGAAAUAGACCUGAACAUAAUAGUUAACCUGUUAACAGCUGCAAAAAUCUGCAGAGCUAAACACUGGAAGAAAAGCAACCCCCAAACAACAGCAGACUGGUUCGAUAAAAUUUGAUCGAUUAUAAUAAUGAUUAAAAUGCAUACUUCAGAAAGGCUUCAGCUGAAGCUGGUUCCCUCUUGGAAACACACAGAGCAUAAAAAUGAUAGUCGUGCUCCUUUUGCUCAUAAUCACCAUCAAGUACCGUAUUUUUUGCUCUAUAGGAUGCACCAGGCCACAAGACGCACCUAGUUUUUGGAGGAGGAAAACAAGAAAAAAAAUAUUCUGAAUCUCAGAAGCCAGAACAGCAAGAGAGAUCGCUGCACAGUGAAAUCAGCAAUCCCUCUCACUGUUCUGGCUUCUGGGAUAGCUGCGCAGCCUGCAUUCGCUCCAUAAGACGCACACACAUUUCCCCUUACUUUUUAGGAGGGAAAAAGUGAGUCUUAUAGAGCAAAAAAUAUGGUAUUUAAAGCAGGCAUGGAAUACUCUCCCAUAUUUCUCCAACGAAAAUAGAGACGUCCUAUUUAAUAAUUAUCCUCUGCCCAUCUGACUGGGUUGCCCCAGCCACUCUGGGUGGCUUCCAAUAUAUAUAAAAACAAAACACUAAACAUAUUUUUUCAAAAAACUUCCUCAUAUAGGGCUGCCUUCAGGUGUCUUCUAAGGGUUGUAUAGUUACUCAUCUCUUUGGCUAGGGGUCGCAUAACUCCAGACCCUUCAACAUUUCUCUAAUGAAAAUAGGGACGUCCUGAGGAAAAGUGGGACAUUCCACGAUCAAUUCAGAAACCGUGACGGCUUCUGCAAAUCAGGGACUGUCCCUGGAAAAUAGGGAUACUUGGAAGUUCUGAUAUGGUGGGGGUUUUUCAGAUUCCCUUCUGGGCAACCCUGCAGGAGCCACUUGGUGGGCAGGGCAGAGGCAAAAGUGGGUGGAUCAAUAAAUCUGAAAGUUACCUUUAUACAGUAGGCUAGUGUCUACAAACGCUCCUCUCUAUCUUCCAUUCUGGCAAGCAAGGAUCAUUAUCAGAGUUUGAGGGCAAAUUCCGGCCAAGCAAAAAUGCAAGGAAGGUGUGAAGCCAGCGUAGUGAGAGGUGUGGCCUGGGGACAAUCUCAAGGACCAGAUAAAGGAGCUUGGGUGGAUGUAUUUUGCCCUCAGGACAGAGGUUCCCCUCCCCUGAUAUAGAUGUACAGUGGUACCUCAGGUUACAGACGCUUCAGGUUACAGAUACUUCAGGUUACAGACUCUUCUAACCCAGAAAUAGUACCUCGGGUUAAGAACUUUGCUUCAGGGUGAGAACAGAAAUUGCACGGCGACAGUGGGAGGCCCCAUUAGCUAAAGUGGUACCUCAAAUUAAGAACAGUUUCAGGUUAAGAACGGAUCUCCAGAAUGAAUUAAGUUAUUAACCCAAGCUACCACUGUAUAUUGCCUCCAAACAUUGCUCUGAAUUGUGUUCUUACUGAUUUGCCGCUUUGGAAACUGACAACCAACCUUUGACAGGCUGAAUGUGGACGUAGUUAUUUCAAAAAAAAAUUAAUAUUGUUCACAUUUUCUGGACCAUGUGAGAUAUUUUUUCAGCAGAAAGGUCUAUGCCUUGGGAGGGAGCUCCUUGUUUUGUUAAUGUUUACAGAAGAAACAAUAUUAAUUUAUAGAUCAGACCUAGUAUUUCUGAGCUCCUGAGUUCCUAUAACUUUAUAAAUGAUCCCCCUGGCAUGGCAAGUUUCACAUGAGAAAUCAACUCCCAUGAGCCCCUUCUUGAGGUUAUUCACAAACAACUCCAUGCUCUUAGUAGUCAGCCAAAUAAGCAUGAGAAAAUAAUAAAUAUGGAAAUAAAUUUAAUCUCUCUCUCUCUCUAUGUGUGUGUGUAUAUAUAGAUACCUUAUGGAGCAGGGAGCAACUAUCCAUUAAGGAGGGCUAGAUACCAUACAUUAAUAGCAAUCAGACCUUCAACUACUUGUUUUAUAUUUCUGCAGCUGUAUGUCUUUUGAGUAUAAUUUGAACUUCCUGAGAUGGUAGGACUUCCUUUUUCUGCUGAUGGGGCAAAUCAAAUGCAAAGGAUUUGUGUUCUUGUGUGUUUUGUUUGAUUCUUUAAGUCCCUGAAAUGUCAACACCACUUAGGACAAAUGUCAAGCAUUCAGAAUUCAUGUAGUCCUACAGCUGCAUAAAACUAUGAGCUGUUGAAGGACCAUAAAAUGUGUCACUGGGUGUUGGCUAACAAUUUGCAGGUGCAUAUCGUCCCAGGAAACCUUUCCAAUCAUGUGAAAUUUAUAGGCUAUGUCUGAAGCCCACAGUGGAUUCAUCCAAGCAAUUACUGUUCUAUGUUUUUAUGGGUCUUGUUAAAAUUGAGUAGAAAGAAGAAAUGGCAAUCUACUAUAUAUUUUGGAAAGUGAUUUGUCUGUCUGAUCUCUAUGGGUUCGGACGCCAUUCAGCAUAUCAUCACCCAGUUGGCAUCAGGGUUCCUGCAGUAGAGGAGGUCUUUGUCUGCAUUUGAAUGUUGGACACCAUUUUUAAUCAAAACGACAGACCAAAACAUGACUUCACCCAAUUUGGUGUGAUGGUUCAAAACUGGACUGAUUUGGAUGCCUCUAAAGCUAUUGUCACCCAAUCUGCUAUUACAUCACCCAAACCAUAAUAAAAGAAUGUAAAUAUCAAUGAUGAUGAUGAUGAUUAAUUUACACCCUGCCUAUCUGACUAGGUUGCCCCAGCCACUCUGAGCAGCUUCCAACAUAUAUAAAAACAUAAGGUAAUGGAAAAGGACCCCUGGACGGUUAAGUCAAAGGCGACAAUGGGGUUGUAGCACUCAUCUCGCUUUCAGGCCGUGGGCGUCAGUGGUUUAGACCACAACACCACCCGCUCCCUAUAAAAACGUAUGUAUAAUAAAAGUAUAUAAAAACAUAGUAAAAGGUUAAAUCUUAAAAAGCUUCCCUAUACAGGGCUACCUUCAGAUGUUUCCUAAAUGUUAUAUAAUUCUAUAUAAUUACUCAUCUCCUUAACAACUGAUAGGAGGGCAUUCCACAGGGUGGGCACUACUGUUGAGAAGGCCCUCUGCCUGGUUUCCUGUAGCUUCACUUCUCAGUGAGGGAACCACCCUUGGUGCUGGAUCUCAGUGUCGGGGCUGAGUGAUGGGGUGAAGACGCUCCUUCUUGUUUACAGGAUCAGUGAAUAAUAAUAAUAAUAAUAAUAAUAAUAAUAAUAAUAAUAACCUUUAGCAAAGCUCACCAUAUAAAACCUCAUCUGCCCAGCAGGAAAGUGGACAAACCUUGUGGACUAAGGAAUUCCAUGAGUGUAGCCAUAGAUAAAGAUGUGUCUCUCAUCCCAACUAAUUGUGUCUCCAUUGCAAGAAAAAUACAGCAAAUUGCAUUCUCUCUAUGUAUAUCACCUGUAUGAAGCCUCUAUGUUUUCCUCUCCAAGGUUAACCCCAGCCCCAUGGCUGUUUAGGACCAUGACUCACACUCCACCUAUGUUGCAGCCCCAAACCAAACUGAGGAAACACUGUUAGUUGCCCCUUGUGCGUCAGAAGCAUACCAGCUCCCAUGCUGUGGAAUACGCUUCAGGCAGAGUUUCAGCAGACAUUCUCAUUUAUGAUUUUCAGGAUUCGCUUGAAGACCUUUUUCUGUUGACAGGCUGAUACAGCUGUUUAAACUUCCUUGAUUAGCCAGUCAUUUUAAUGAUUAUUUUGUCUUGUUUCUAUGAUGUUUUAGGUUUUAUUUUACAUGUAUUUAGAGCCGUUCCCAUCUGCUUAUCUUUCUUCUUUCUUUGGUCUUCUCCUUUGCUUUUCGGCUAGCCGUGCUGUGGAGGGCAGACAUGGUCAACUUUUUUGUGUUGCCGGCUGAACGGACAUGGCCUGUAGCUAAUGUCUGGCCAGCCGGCAAGGCACUGCCCAUCUGGCAGGGCCACUGAUUGGCCCAUUUAACGCUGGCAUUUUUGCAAGGGAUCCCCGCCCCUUGAUUCUGCCGGCCAGGGAAUUCCCCUAAAAACUGUACGUGGGCCAUAGUGGUUGAGGGUGGUGGACGGAGGCAACUUCCACAAUCAGCACCCACCUGAAAAGGGGUGAGAUGCCAUUGCUGUACGCAAUCAUGAUAUUUUAUAUCAGUCGGCAGUAUAUUAAUAUUUUGCUUAAUAAAGCAUGUGGUUUUGUUCUAAACUGAGAGCCAGUGUGGUGCAGUGGUUAAGAGCGGUGGACUCGUAAUCUGGUUAACCGGGUUCACUUCCCCGCUCCUCCACAUGCAGCUGCUGGGUGACCUUGGGCUAGUCACAGCUCUCUGAAGUCUGUCAGCCUCACUCACCUCACAGAGUGUUUGUUGUGGGGGAGGAAGGGAAAGGAGAAUGUUAGCUGCUUGGAGACUCCUUUGGGUAAUGAUAAAGCAGGAUAUCAAAUCCAAACUCUUCUUCUUAUUAUUCAGCAUCAAAGACAGAAACCCUUAUUGCUAUGAUAGCAUCAACUAGCCUAGAAGGAAGGCUAACUGUGUACGUGUGUACGUCUGUGCUGUAAAAUUAGUUUGCAAGAAAGAAUUCCUCUCCAGCUCCUGGAUAAAUGAAUAAGAUUGCCAACUUGCAAAACUGAUCCCAUAUCUCUCUUUGGAGCAGAGCAAAUCUAGCAUGUGUCAGUGGUAAAGCUAGGGAGCUAAGUCCAAGAAUUAGACAGAUCUGGGGCAGACCCUAGCAGCAGAUUUUGGUGAUCCAAGGGGCAAAACCAGAGUCUUUUAUUCUGCUUGGUUGGCAAGGCAUAGUUUGAGAACAGACAGAAGUUUGAUAUCUCUAUUUUAGACAGUACUUUUGUGGUCACAAGACAAAGUAAAGGCCUACUUUACUUCCAAUAGACACAGCUGUAACACAUAAUGCCAUGAUUUCAGCAGCCAUGUGGACAUUUUGGUUGCCCAAUUCAAGUGCAUGUUGUGAUGAAUCUGGGAUUUAUCCCUGUUUGACAGUCAUUCUGUUUAAUUCAUUUGGACCAUCUUUCAAUUGCAGCCACUUUAAAUCAGCAAUCUACCCUCAAAUAUAUCUGUUUGUUGGAGUGUACAUUAAGGUUACCAGAUUUUUUCAAUGAAUCCGGGGACACUUUUCAUCUUCAAUGGAUUUUGUAUGGGGACUGAUUUGUAAAACCGGGGACUGUCUCCGGGAAACGGGGACGUCUGGUAACCUUAGUUUACAUGCACAUUUGUGCUCUCAAACACCAGAAAAUGGUAUUUGGUGCUUAGUUUGCAACAGCUAGGCAAGCCAUAAUGAACUUUAGGACGAAAUGUAUUUCAUGUUUUGUUUAACUAAUAUACUGAGUCUGCUCCCAUUUGUUUUAUGUUAUGUAUUAAUUGUGUCCCACCCCAGCCAAAUCCUUUUUUAAGAAAGGAAAAAUCCCUCUUUACUAAGGUUGUCCUGGGACAUGAAGAACAGCAGUAAGCAAUCAGCCCCAUAGUCACACAACAGAUUGGGUAUGUGGGGCAUAUGGUGAACACUUGUGUACAGCUUUUAAAAGCUCAUUCCACAGGAAGUAUUAAAAGUCAGCAUUCUUAGCCCGGCCACACUUCUAGACAAGUGAAACUACUUGGCUAUCCACAUUUGUGACACAAUGCAAGGAUGAAAUAUGUGAGGUUCUAAAUAUGGCUAUCAAAAAAAACCCCCAAAAAUGCAUUCUAUCUUCCUAUAUGAAAUUAAGCACUAUACUCCAAUCCAAUGGGCUGGCUCUGGAAUUCACAUAAUAAUUCUUCCCCUCCAUGUAUUUCUUCCUUAGAUAUGGGAUCAUAUAGAUCAUGGGGGGGGGGGGUGAAUGCAUGAAUUGGUGCACAUACGUCAAUCAUGGAUAAUUCAGGGGGCCCUGUGUGAGCUGUCCAUCCUAUUCAUGCCUACUCACAUUUCACUACGCCAUAGUACUUUGCCUAGCCAUGUACCUUAGAGCUCUGCUUCAGGUUCUGGACAUGUGUGUAUGUAACUUAUCUACAUUUAGAAGGAUUUGGGAAUAAAGCCUGGGGUAAGGUAAAGGUAAAGGGACCCCUGACCAUUAGGUCCACUCGUGACUGACUCUGGGGUUGCGACGCUCAUCUCGCGGCAUACAGCUUCCGGGUCAUGUGGCCAGCAUGUCUAAGCCGCUUCUGGCGAACCAGAGCAGCGCACAGAAACGCCGUUUACCUUCCCACCAGAGCAGUACCUAUUUAUCUACUUGCACUUUGACGUGCUUUCAAACUGCUAGGUUGGCAGGAGCAGGGACCGAGCAACGGGCGCUCACCCCGUCGCGGGGAUUCGAACCACGACCUUCUGAUCAGCAAGUCCUAGGCUGUGUGGUUUAACCUACAGCGCCACCCGCAUCCCUAAGCCUGGGGUAGCCAAGACAAAAUUGGGUGGCACGCACACACAUCAAGUGAGAGGCAUUAUUACAGUUCAAGGAGACCUUCUAGCCAGGCAAAAGCACCCCAAGGGUGUAUCGAUGUGUGACUGUUUAGGGGGAAAUCUAGCUAGGAGAAGCCCAGAGAACCAUUCAGCCCAGACACUGAGGUCCAGCUCCAAUGACCUUCUGGUGGUUCAUUCACUGCGAGAAGUAAGCUUACAGGGUUGCAUCUGCCCUGUGGAAUACCCUCCCAUCAGAUGUCAAGGAGAUAAGUAACUAUACUACCUUUAGAAGACAUCUGAAGGCAGCCCUGUACAGGGAAGUUUUUAAUGUUUGAUAAUGUUUCUGUAUAUGCUGGAAGCCACCCAAAUUGGCUGGGGCAACCCAGUCAGAUGGGGGGGUAUUACAAAUAUUAUCAUCAUCAUCAUCAUCAUCAUUAUCAUUAUUAUUGCCUUUUAGGCCUUGUUUGCCUUGUUGAGAGGUGCAGACUUGCCUAUUAUAGUCGAGAUGAAAUUUGAAACAGAACUUCCUUCCAUCCUGGCUCACUUCAUACUCUUAGCCUCUAUGCUCUAAAAAAAAAAGCUAUAUCCCAUUAUCUAAACCAUAUGUUCUGCAGCAACGCUUAAAUUUCUAAAAUAAGUAUUUCUGACCAAGUAGAAAUGCCAAAAAAAGAGAGAUUCUGUUCUGAUCAUUACUGCAUAUUUGCGACAGUGUGGCAGAUGUGCAAUCCAUACAUAUAAAUGCGAUGCCAGGAGCUCAGUCUUUGCCAGGGCCACAGUUGAAUUAUAUUUUGAUCCAAGCUGGAGCACACAUGUUUAAUUUUCUUCCAUAUUGCUGUCAUUUGCAUGGGAACAGAGGAUGGCCAAGUCAUGCAAAAUUUAUUAAAGAGUAAAAAAAACAAAAACGACCCAAAACCUAAAGAUGGACUCUUUCAAUUUAUCUGACUUGUUUUAAUUACUCAAAGGUCCAUGAUGGAUUAUCGCUCUAGCCUGGGGUACAAAGAGCAUCACAAAAAGUAAGCUGCAUUAUGAGUGAUCACAACAUGGCUUAUUCUUGAUGUCCUCUAUAAAUCCUACAUCAUUAUCGUCAAAAGAACAUGCCUUCAGACUGUUCUCCUCCCUGCAUGUACUCUUCUUUAUGAACUGCUCUUUUGGAAUUUGUUAACAAUAGAGGGGGGACAAAUCUCCCAAGGUUGGGCAUAUGGAUGUGAUCAAUAUUUGGUACUGUUGGCUCUUUUAAAAACUACUGGAAUAGCUGCCCAUUUCAAUGUAUUAAAAUGAGUUGCAUGGAAGGUACCUGCCGCAAACGGACUCGUGCUUCUGUGCUAUCUCAUUGGGAUAGCAAAGGUCUAUUAUUUCCUACAAAAGACAGUGAAAGAAUGAGGUGAUGCAAUUUUAAAAACAGUGCUGGAAAUAAAGGCGGAAACAUCUUGUACAUCGAGAAAGACUGGACCUAUUUUGACCUCUAAAUCUGAUUUUCAGCUGCUGAUGUCUAUCUGUGCUUGAUGAACCCACUCCAGCGGGAGGUCAAGGGAAGGAUGGAAUGAACAACAGAUAAGAGACAGCAAGGAAAAGAAUAUUGGUGAGUUUGUCUAACAAAGUUAUCGACCUUUUCCUGCUUUGCCAUCUGUCUGGGAGGAAAAAACAGGAGACACCACCAUUGCAUCUUCACCUUCACCCUUUCUGCCAAUGAGUAAACACAUGACCCAUUACAAUUCAUACCUGAGUCACUCGUCUCUUACUUCCCCCUGCUAGGUGCUCUUGGAGGAAACUGAUUUUCUAGAUCUAUUUCAAUUUGCUUGCCCUAUAUGGUGACCUGUGUUGAGAGAGACAGGGGAAAUGUGCCCCUGCUAAUUCUCCUUGACCAAAGUAAGCUCCCAAGGAUGAUUUUGCUCUAGGAGGCUUACUUUGGUCAGAAUUGAGUAUACACUUCCAGAGUUAAUACUAAAUACAUUACUUUCGGUAAAUGAACCAACAUAGCUGCUAGAGGGCCAUGAAAAUUUGUGUGCUAGGUAUUUUAGACUCAUCUACCCAUGUACUAUCUGAAACCAAAGGGGCACAUUGGUUAAAGGUAAAAGGUAAAGGAACCCCUGACCGUUAGGUUCAGUCGUGGCCAACUCUGGGGUUGCGGCUCAUCUCACUUUAUUGGCCGAGGGAGCCGGCGUACAGCUUCCGGUUCAUGUGGCCAGCAUAACUAAGCUGCUUCUGGUGAACCAGAGCAGUGCACGGAAACGCCGUUUACCUUCCCACCAGAGCGGUACCUAUUUAUCUACUUGCACUUAGACGUGCUUUCGAACUGCUAGGUUGGCAGGAGCAGGGACCAAGCAAUGGGAGCUCACCCUGUCUCGGGGAUUCGAACCGCUGACCUUCUGAUCGGCAAGCCCUAGGCUCUGUGGUUUAACCCACAGCGCCACCCGCAUCCCUGGCACAUGAUUACCAGAUAUAAAUUACAUCCCCCAGCUCUCCUACCCCACUAAUGGGAGUUUGAGUUCAACAAUAAGUGUCAAGCCACAGACUUCCAAUCCCAGCAUUAGUGUUCAUUACAGUGUGGUCUUCUUAUUCUGAGUGGGAACACUCCUUCAUUAUUUUUGUUUUUCACAAGCUGUGUGCAGGAUGCUGGUUUUUGUAUUUUGAUUAAAAAAGAAAAUACAGUAUGUAAAAUAUAAAAUUAUAAUUCCCUGGAUUCCUAGGUCCAUUUUUGGGGUACAUACUCCAGCAGAGAUUUAAAAUUACAAAACAUGCAGCAAAGUAGAGCAUGGAAAUAUAGCCUGUUAGACAAUUGUAAUAUCCCUUUCUAAGUUCCUUCCAAAGUUCCCCACUUCCCUUAGCAUAGAAAGAGACCACAUGUUUAGUAAGUUAAAAAUGAUUGAUUUACAAACUCUUCAAAGGUAGAUUCAUGUGCCGUUUCAUACAGCAGCAAGAAAAGACAGACAGUUUAACUUAGAUUCCAAAAAUUGUAAGAGUUUCUAAAUUAUUUGAAUAGAAAGGCAAAAAUGGCAUGCUUAAGCCAUGUGGUCUAAAUUUGGAGCAUCCAGCUUAGACUUCCUUACUGCUAGGGUUCAUAUGGUUGAAGUGAGAGAACAAAGAGUUUGGUAAGCCUUCUUCCCAAGGUGAGACGGUGUGACCUAGCUAAGCCUGGCAAGACUCUGUGGACUUAACCCCUUCAUGCAUUAAAGUUAAGUAUGUUGGUUAUAUGAGGCUGAUUUAUCUGGCAUAUUAGGUCUACUAUGGAAUUAUAUGGAACCACGCAGAGUGUUAGAACUAUGUUCCUUUGAUGACCAGCAACAGUGCUUAGUUAUCCUGCACCUUCUGUAACAGGAGAGGUUCCUCAGCUCCGAUAAAUAGUCCCACAACCUGACAUUUAUUUCAUGCAACUCCACUAUUAAUACUAUUUGUGUUGUAAACAGAAACAAGAGCUGUCAACCUUCUCAAGUUAAUUUACUAUACUGGAGAAAAUACAUAGUCCAUGUGUGAAUAAUAUUCCACCAGCAGUUAUGGAUUAAAAGAGGGUGGGGGAGAUGGAAAAUUAGAGAACAUCAUCUCAUGUAGAAUAAGGUCCCUUGUUGUUGCUAAUAAAAUAAUUCACUUCUGGGGUGUUUAAAUUCAUGUUUUUAAUAGUAUUUCCAAAAGUGUUCAAGGUACAAACUCCCAUACACAUGCGGACACACACACGCCCGUAAACAUGUCUUCAAUUUUAAGCAUUCAGUGAUCCCAAUAUGGAGAAAAGCUUCCUUCCAUCUGCUUCCUCGGCAGUUACUUAUUCCUUCAGAGUAAACGGAACAGCUCUGGCAGAAGAUUUACAAACAAUAGAACACUAUUGCAUAACUGGCAUUCACUGCACUGCACUCAACACUUCCCCUAUAUCUGCUUCUCAUAUCGAGUGCAACUUAUGCAUUCUGGGGAUAGUGCCUAAAGUCAAAAUCACAUAUAGUCAAAACCAGUGUGUGUUUUUUUCUGGGGAGACGCAGGGGUACACAUACCCCUAAAUAUUUUGUGAAUCUAAGGGGAGAAGAAACUAAUUUUUUAAAAAAUAGUUUCUUCUCUAGCAUGGUGAAUCAGCCACAUUUCCUAUCAUGGUGUUUCCUGAGUCUCAGAUGGAAGCGGGCGUUUAAUGUGUGAAGUAGGAGUUGGAAUCUAGCACUGUGAUUGGUCAGUUUUGUUGUUACCACCUCCAAUGGUGGCUUCAUUUCCUUUCCCAGUGUUUCCUGAGUCUCAGAUGGAGGCAAGCGUUUAAUGUGUGAAGCAGUGUAGAAUGUGGAUGUGGGCUGUUUUACUGAUGAAAGUUUGGCCUCAAUAUGAGUAAUGCAUGUUCUUUGUACUUUUGGCCAUUUGCUGCAUUUAUUUUUCCCGAUUUGAACUAUAAAAUGGUGAUUUUCUUGAGUCAAAAUGAGAGAAACAUUUUUAAAGGGGGAAAAAGUGCUGGUCAAAGCACAUUGGGUGCAAUGGUGGUUGCUACAGCCUCUCCUCCCCCCACCACCUUCCCCCUUUCUUUUUCUUUUUAACUUUGUCAAGCGUAUAAAACUAAAUACACGCAAGUUAAAUGUCUGUAAGUUGUGAAUGUACUGUAUACAAAUGCUUAACUGGUUGCUUCUUAAUACUAAUAGCUUGAAUACUAGUAGCUAGAAAUUGGAAAGAAGCCAAAUGUACAUCAGUGGCAUAAUCUGGAGCAUAACACUUUCUGGAAAACUCUCUCUCUCUCUCUCUCUCUCUCACACACACACACACACACACACACACACACAAAACCUGUGUGGCAAAAGAAAGGAGAGACAUUCAUGGCAGUCUGGUGGCUAUUCAUCCAGCAAAUGAACAAUGACUCUAGGACAAACUGUAUCUGACGCAUUCUGUAAUAUAUGGUUGUUAAUAUUUUCCUUCAUAUUGAUAUUAUUGUUUGCAUCUGAGCUAUGUCUUUGGGUUUGGGGAAAAGGAGAGGGAGGAUAUUCCAGUUGUUUUUUUUAGAAGUCAAUAAAAAUUAAGGGGGAAAGGUUUAUGCUUGGGUGACAUGCAUAUUCUUUGAAUAAAGUGGACCUCUUUUUAAAAUAAUAAUAAAAAACUGAAACGAAAAACCAGCCAGUGGGUGGUGAACAGUGGUUACCGAAUAACUGCUGACACUGAAAGAGCAGCCAAAGCAGGAAUUAUCAAAUCAGGUGACUAUCAUUGUUCAAUACGUUUAAUGCUACAAGCACCUGGUUCUUUCUUCAUUAUACAACUUACAGAAGACCAAAGAGUAUGCCAGUCUAUAACAUCAAAAUAAUUAUUCCAUGUAGCAAAUAUUUGAUCCAGUGAAGAAAAACAUAUUUUAGUGACUUGACAUUAGGUAAUGGAAAGAAAAGCUGAAAACUGCCUUUCAGUUUGCAUGCACAACCCAAAAUUUCUAUGUUAAUUACACAACAAACCUGGGGCUUAUGAAAUAAAGAACAGAGGGUUUAUAUGUUUUUUAGCAGUACUAUCCAUGGAAAAAUCCCUCUUCGUUCUCCACUGUAAGAAGAAAAAACAGUAUUUUCAAUAAAUGUCAAUUUUUAUAUAGUAUACAGGCUUUUAUAGUAUACAAGCUUUACAAGAGAAAUCUAAUUUGCAAAGAUAAACCACCAUACAUAUUUAUGCAUUUAUUUGUACUUUAUUACCGUUUGGAAACAUUAGUAUAAUACAUUGGUACCUCGGGUUACAGACGCUUCAGGUUACAGAUUCCGCUAACCCAGAAAUAGUACCUCGUGUUAAGAACUUUGAUUCAGGAUGAGAACAAAAGUCGUGCUCCGGUGGCGCGGUGGCAGCGGGAAGUCCCAUUAGCUAAAGUGAAACCUCAGGUUAAGAACAGUUUCAGGUUAAGAACAGACCUCCAGAACGAAUUAAGUUCUUAACCCAAGGUACCACUGCACAGGGAGAUAUGAAAUCAAGCCGAGUACGAUUGUCUUCCAUGAGCACGGUCUUCACAGUGAGUCCGUAAGUGACUGUGGAGGUCAAUUCUGGAUCCACACAUCUUUCCACAGUAGGGACAGAGGUUUCUGGUUGGGAGUUGAUCACAGUGAGAGUUUGCCAAACAUGCCUUCCUCUUAGCACAUUUCUCCCUUUUGUCCUGAGUUUGAGCGUCUUCAAAGUCCACGACACCUUUGGUAAAGGCUGUUCUCCAAUUGGAACGGUUGCAGGCCAGUGUUUCCCAGUUGUUGGUGUUUAGACUACAUUUUUAAAGAUAUGUCUUAAGAGAUCUUUAAACCUUUUUUGUUGACCACCAGCAUUAUGCUUUCCAUCUUUAAGUUUGGAAGAGAGUAGUUGCUUUGGAAGACAAUAAUCAGGCAUCCGAACAACAUGACCAGUCCAAUGAAGCUGAUGUUGAAGAAUCAUUGCUUUGACACUGGUGAUCGUUGCUUCUUCCAGGACACUGGCAUUAGUUUGCCUAAAGCUUGUCCAAUGCCAGUGCUACUAGGUGGUGGUCAAAAAGCAUAGAAUCAUAGAAUUGUAGAGUUGUGGCACACACUGAGUGACUAACUAAAAAAUCAUAGUAACGUUUCUAAACAUAACAAUUUUUUAGCAAGUGUCCCGGAAGCCAAUUCAUGCAGCUCUGUGAACUUGUGUUGAACUACUUUCUCUCCCCUUCGAAGAGAAGCAACUUCAGCACUAGUCAAAACUUCCCUGCCAUCGAAUAAUGAAUGCAAGCUGUUCCUUGCUCUGGCAAACAGGACAUUUUUUGGUAAAGAAAACAGCUGGGGCAUGAAAACAAAGUGUUUGCAUUUCAAUAUACUGUAUUUUUUGCUCUAUAAGUCUCACUUUUCCCCUCCUAAAAAGUAAGGGGAAAUGUGUGUGCGUCUUAUGGAGCGAAUGCAGGCUGCGCAGCUAUCCCAGGAGCCAGAACAGCAAGAGGGAUUGCUGCUUUCACUGCGCAGCGAUCCCUCUUGCUGUUAUGGCUUCUGAGAUUCAGAAUAUUUUUUUUCUUGUUUUCCUCUUCCAAAAACUAGGUGCGUCUUGUGGUCUGGUGCGUCUUAUAGAGCGAAAAAUACAAUUUCUCUCUCAAAAAGGGAUUUUUUAAUUUAAAAAAAAUACUCUUCCCUCCCCAGCAGUGGAGGUUGGUGCAUGAUAGCAAAUGAGGUAUUGCCCCCACCAAACUCACUUUCUUAGUUAAAGCCAUUCCACAGAGAAGCAUCCCUUGUCAACUUCCUCGUCCUAAGCCUCAGUGUUGUUCUAGAACAGGAGUAGGCAACCUAAGGCCCGGGGGCCGGAUGCGGCCCAAUUGCCUUCUCAAUCUGGCCCGCGGAUGGUCCAGGAAUCAGUGUGAUUUUACAUGAGUAGAAUGUGUGCUUUUAUUUAAAAAGCAUCUCUGGGUUCUUUGUGGGGCAUAGGAAUUUGUUCAUUCCCCCCCCCAAAAAAAAUAGUCUGGCCUACCACAUGGUCUGAGGGACGGUGGACUGGCCCUCGGCUGUAAAAGGUUGCUGACCCCUGCUCUAGCAGAACUCAGCAGGAAGAAGGAUGAGGACAAAGAAUUAGUGGGCUUUGCCUGCCGUUGGUUCCGGCCCCACCUGCUGUUUGUCUCCCUGCCUUCAGCCCUACCAAUUUCAAUGGGCACCAGCCACCACUUCUCCUCAGCUAUAAUCUCUCUGAAUCACUACCACCCUGCACUGCACUUAACAAAAGGGGAAAAAGAGGAAAGAACACUCAUUAUUAACACUUGAUUCUGAGAAUCUGGUCCUUAAUUUAAUUGAUCCAGAGUGAUUGUUUGGUGCUCUUGUUUUAAAUAACAUUCAGAUGCACAGGCAUUCUUUCAGCAUGCCACGGGUUAUUUUGUUAACCGCAGAAGGCGGGGAUUUAAUCUGGUACAGCACCAAAAGCAACGCGACCUGUGACCUGGGGGGGGUCACUGAUACAGCACCCACAUUGAAUGACUUUUGCCAAGUCCCCCCGGCCUGUUUCACACAUUUGUCUGCAUCCUUAUGGAGCGUACAAGCAGGGAAUGAUCUUUGACACCCAGACACCUUUGUCCGAUACUUUUAUGUUCAGUCAUUUCUGCCUGUAGGACACAUGUUGCAGUUAUGAGAGACAGCCGCUAGCUGAACAGAGUGUGUUUGUUUACUGGAAGUGGCAGGAGGUAAAUCAAGGGUGAGGGACAUGUUGACCUCCAGAUGUGGCUGGACUCCAAGUCCCAUCAGACGCAGUCAGAGCAUGGGCAGCGGUCAGGAAUGAUGGGAGUUGCCAUCUAGCAACAUGUUUCAGAAACUCUGGUUCAUUGGAUUCCAUGGUUUUACUCUGAAAUAUCCCAACUAAGUGUACAUUAAAGGUUUUUGACCAUUUUGGCCACAGCCUGGUGCAUGGUCUUCAGGCAAAGGAGGCCAUCACUUGUGUACCACUUUGGGUUCCAAGAUGGACGAAAGAGAGGAUGUAAACGUAAGGAAAAUUAAAUAAAUAAAUCCCAUUCUAUACCCAGGAAUAAUUGAACUCAGUGAGGGCUUACUUCUGAAUAAAUAUGUGGAGUGAUUUCUCUGCAUGGCUAAUGGAAUUCCUCACCACAGGCGUUAAUUCUGAAGCCUUCUAAAAUACUUCACCAGCCAGAUAAAUGUAACCUUUUUGUUUUGGAGAAGUUUUGUAAAUACAGUAGUACCUCUGAUUACAUAACCCUCUGGUUACGUAAACUUCAGGAUGCAAAAGCGGAAAACCUGUAAGUAUUUGACUGGGUUUCGCCACACGCACAUGCGCAGAAGCUGUCCUCAGGUUGUGGAAACCUCAGGAUCCAAUCGGACCUCCGGAACGGAUCCCAUCCGCAACCGGAGGUACCACUGUACAUCCCUGGUUUGGGAGGUAUUACAUCAGUGUUUUCCAAACUUGGGUCUCUAGCUGUUUUCGGACUACAAUUCCCAUUAUCCCUGACCACUUGCUAGCUAGGGAUGGUGAGAAUUGUAGUCCAAAAACAGCUGGAGAUGCAAGUUUGGGAAACACUGAAUUAUACCAUCACACCAUUUUGUGACAUGCAUUUUGAAAUUAUCUGAUUGCUGUGGGGUUUUUAAGAAACAAUCCAGUUUAAAUAUAUAGAUAAUUAAGAUGCUAAAGGACGUGGGUGGCGCUGUGAGUUAAACCACAGAGCCUAGGGCUUGCUGAUCAGAAGGUCAGCGAUUCGAAUCCCCGUGAAGGGGUGAGCUCCCAUUGCUCGGUCCCAGCUCCUGCCAACCUAGCAGUUCGAAAGCACAUCAAAGUGCAAGUAGAUAAAUAGGUACCACUCUGGCAGGAAGGUAAACAGCGUUUCAUGCACUGCUCUGAUUCACUAGAAGCAGCUUAGUCAUGCUGGCCACAUGACCCGGAAGCUCCCUCGGCCAAUAAAGCAAGAUGUGCGCCACAACCCCAGAGUCGGUCACGACUGGACCUAAUGGUCAGGGGUCACUUUACCUUUACCUUUACCUUUUAAGAUGCUAAAAUGUGACUUUGGGGAAGUGCUUCUAUCUCAUCAGAGACAAAUAACACGAGACCUUAGCCACCAUGUUCCUGAUAAGCCACUUUACCAUUUUCACGAGUUACACAGACAUGAGACUUAUCAGAAGAACCAUAUGAGAGAUCCAGAACCAACCUUCUUCCACCCUAUCAUGCCACCAGCACUUAGUAGACUCUUCCUUGGACCUCUCUGGUACUCCUAUGUCCAUUCAUAUUUCCUUAACAGGAUGUUGCCUGUCCCGGGAACCUUCCCCAGAAACUCCUAUUGUUCAAGAACCAUUCUGUUAACACCAAGUUGCCUGCUCAGCUCCCAUAAAAUCGAGGCAAGCCAAAUGACUUCCAGGGUUGCUGGUCUGCAAUAAAACACCAUAUCAUGCACAGUCCUGCCUCAUCAAAGGCUACACUGUUUUUAACUUCCCAUUACUUUAUUGUACUAAAUAGGGAAGAGUUGACAAUUCCUAGUCCGUUCAUAAAUAUAUCUAUCGAGACUAGUCUGUUUCAUCUGUUUCUUUCCUCUUUCGCUUUUGAGGACCCGUUUCACUUAUAAAAACACCUGACUGCUCUGACAGUUAUGCUCUCUGUACCAUUAAUUUCAGCUGCUCUUUGAUCCGAAUUGCAGCUGGAGCUUAGCAUGCCAAGACUGUAACAUCUUGCAGCUCGCAUUGAAAUGGAGAUUAGACCACAACCCAAUAGUUCUGGGUGGUUUCACGUGAUGGGGGAGGGAGGGAGGGUGGGUUGGCAAUGUUGCAAAAGGCAACACUUCAUUUGGCAAAAGCCAACAAGAAUGACAGGGUUCAGAUAUCAGAAAAAUAGAACGGGAAGAGACCUAAGAAACUUCAACUCAGGAAUAAAGCACACAGGCUGUCUAAUAUGGAAAAGCCUAUCUGUGCGGGAUGCCAGCUUAUCAGAAACAAACAGCCCAUGCUACUCUUGUUCCUUUAACAGAAGCAUAAUGUCCAGUGAUAAUCAGUUGAGGCUUUUCAAAGCAUGGUCAUCAGCUGAUGUUGGUAAAUUAAGCGGUUAUCAAAGGAACAGCUAUAGGACCAAGUUCAGAACAUGACAGCCAUAUUGCCUAUAGCAGAAAUGUGGAGCUUGAGGUCCUCUGUCUCGCAUCAGCACCAGCGAACAUGGUCAACAAUGAAGGAUGAUGGGAGCUGAAACCAACAACAUCUUGAAGACCACUGGUUUCUCCAUUUCUCCAAUUCAUAGAAUUAUUUUGCACUUGCAUAUCGGAAAUUCUGUUAAUUUUAUUCAUUUAUUUGGAAUUAACUUUACACAGAUUUCCUGUGGAUGCUUUGUCUCAGAAGGACCCUCUAAAUUCAUCUCACGUAUUGCUUCAGAUGUUCUUAAAGGUGAAAAUACCUCUUUCAGAGCCUGGACCUAGGCUUUCUAUGAAGUGCAAUGAGACAGCAGGGCCUCUUUGGACCGAUUUCUACAACAGUCUGCAGAACCUUCUCUUGCAAUAAUUUAUGUAGUUGUUACAAACGCUAGAGAAUUCUAUUGCUCUAAGGUAUUUUAAUCAUACUGGAACUUUUUGUUUCAUUUAAAAUUGAAAAUAGCUUUCAAAAGCCCCUGUGCACGAUUAUUGCACAGCAUUCCUAGACUCCUUCUAGGGGGUGAUGGAAACUUUCCAGGAAAAAUGAAAGAGCAAAGCAACCUACGUUCGUAGUCGAGUUUGUCUUGCUAUUACAUUUACCUGAGGGACAAUAUAUGACAGCUGGAUGGAACAGCCAGUCCUGAAAUCUGAUCAAAAAGAGCUGUGCUCAGCAUUCCUGCACAAAAUAUUUAAAUUUCCUGGAAACUCAUUUUCAUUAUCUUAGUUUUACUGUUGCGAUUCCUCUUGGAUGUUUCAGCUGGAGGAUAUUGGGAUUAGACCGGAGCUAUUGACCACUGUACCAGUAACCAGACUUGGAGUACUUCUCCUUCAAGCAAAGGGUCACUGAAGUUGAAGGGUGCAGUACUUUGACAGUGCAGUACUUUGGUCCAACCAGCUACUUGCUCAGUUUAAAAAAGAUGGGUAUGUUCACAUGCUACGUGAAGAAGCAUCUCCACUCCCAUUGUUCAGCCCAGACACUGAGGUCCAUCUCCGAGGGCCUUCUGGUGGUUCCCUCACUGCAAAAAGUGAGGUUACAGGGAACCAGGCAGAGGGCCUUCUUGGUAAUGGCACCCUCCCUGUGGAACGCCCUCCCAUCAGAUGUCAAGGAGAUAAAGAACUGCACUACUUUUAGAAGACAUCUGAAGGAAGCCCUGUUUGGGGAAGUUUUUAAUGUUUGACAUCUUAUGUUUUUUAGAUGUGCUGGAAGCUGCCCAGAAGGGCUGGGAAAAUCCAGUCAGAUGUGCAGGGUUCAAAUAAUAAAAUUAUUGUUGUUCUUAUUAUGCACCUUUUAAAAAGAGGCUGAGGAUUUGCAUACUGGUAUAAUCUGAGUUUAUGGUGGCAGAUCACAUGAUCACGUCAUCUAGUGCAAGGUGGCAGGGAACUCCAACCAAGGUUAUGAGGACUGGCUCAUUCGUUUUGAGAACAGUUGCUUUGGAGAAAGCGGGCACUGAUAUUUCCUACACUGUUUUUGUGACAAAAAAGAAUGCCACCAUUUCCAGCACUUAUGUCUCUUUGCACCCAUGAAACUGGCAGCCUUAUGAGAAUCCGAUACUUGGUGCCUGUUGUAAAAUGUUCCAUUGGUAUUGCGAAUCACCCUCAUUUUGUCAGUGGCUCUGGACACGCUGAGUGAAUUGGUGAGCUUUGUGUUAUGAAUUAGAUCAGAAUGGAGAGCUGUAAUGUUCUUUCCUGGCCAUGCUCCAUGUUUCCAUUAAUCAUUUUUGCAACUCUACACUGCAGCUAAGGAGAUUAGAAGUUUCAUAAACCCAAACAGAGGCCAGUGCCCUUCGGUCUUCCAGGGCUGUAACUGCCAGCUGCGAUACAGUUAGAAGCUCCUCUGCCUUCUUCCUGCUUCGGCCCUCGGGACCUUUUCCUCUCCAAUUUGGAGCAGCUCUGCCAAAUCAGGGCGAUGACUACUGUGAACACAACUGCUUGGUGGAACUGGCUCCUAUUUACUUUCUGAUCCAGCUCUGGGGUUAUUCAUUCUGUUUAUUUCCAUAGUUACUCUCCACAUUCCGACUGAUAGCCAAAAGAUAAUUCCACCUGUUCAUAGGAAAUCCACAUAGCGCCAUUUCUAAGUGAUGACAGCAUUCCACACCAUUAAAUUUCCUCUAGUUUUGGCUUGUGCAAUAUAGGACCCACCUUGCGCCUGCAAGAUGGUCGACAAUUGCUCCCUGCUCCAUUUUUAUCUCUGUUUCUUUGCCAUCCUGACAGCUUCCAUGGAGCUGAUGAGCUGCAACAAAGUUAGGCUGCUAUUAACACACGAGAGAGAGAGAGAGGGAGAGAGAGUCUGUCACACAAAAUUGCCAAUGUGAACAUUUUGCAUACUUUGAAUCAUAGAAUUGUAGAGUUGGAAGGGACCCUGUGGACCGUAUAUUCCAACCCCCUGCAAUGCAGGAAUAUGCAGCUGUCCCAUACAGGGAUCAAAAUAUUAUGGACAGUAGUUCAUUACUGUUCAGUUAUUAUUAUUAUUAUUAUUAUUAUUAUUAUUAUUAUUACUGUUAGGACUGUUCCAAUGAUGAUGCUGAUACCAGUGCUAUUCCUGCCCCCCCCCCAAAAAAAGAGGUGCUGGAACUCGCCAUAAAUGCCUCCCUUGUUCUCUUAGAAUCAUAGAAUCAUAGAGUUGGAAGAGACCACAAGGGCCAUCGAGUCCAACCCCCUGCCAAGCAGGAAACACCAUCAGAGCACUCCUGACAUAUGGUUGUCAAGCCUCUGCUUAAAGACCUCCAAAGAAGGAGACUCCACCACACUCCUUGGCAGCAGAUUCCACUGUCGAACAGCUCUUACUGUCAGGAAGUUCUUCCUAAUGUUUAGGUGGAAUCUUCUUUCUUGUAGUUUGGAUCCAUUGCUCCGUGUCCGCUUCUCUGGAGCAGCAGAAAACAACCUUUCUCCCUCCUCUAUGUGACAUCCUUUUAUAUAUUUGAACAUGGCUAUCAUAUCACCCCUUAACCCAGUGGCGUAGCGUGGGUUGUCAGCACCCGGGGCAAGGCAAGUAAUUUGCGCCCCCUAACCCAUGGAUUUUAGUAGGGGCAGAGAGCUGUGAGUGCGAGCGCACACCCCCCCAGAUGUUGCGCCCGGUGCGGCCGGCCCCCCCUGCACCCCCCACGCUACGCCACUGCCUUAACCUCCUCUUCUCCAGGCUAAACAUGCCCAGCUCCCUUAGCCGUUCCUCAUAAGGCAUCGUUUCCAGGCCUUUGACCAUUUUGGUUGCCCUCCAGACCAGAGCAGAAUACAGUGGCACUAUUACUUCCCUUGAUCUAGAUGCUAUACUCCUAUUGAUGCAGCCCAGAAUUGCAUUGGCUUUUUUAGCUGCUGCGUCACACUGUUGGCUCAUGUCAAGUUUGUGGUCAACCAAGACUCCUAGAUCCUUAUACAGUGGUACCUUGGUUCUCAAAUACCUUGGUACUCAAACACUGCAAACCUGGAAGAAAGUGUUCCGGUUUGCGAAAUGUUUUCGGAAGCCGAAUGUGCACCGUUUUGAGUGCCACGCUUCUGUUUUGAGUGUUACGCUGAGGUCUGCCUGUUUUUGCUAUUUAUUUUGCGUUUUUCUUUUUGCUGCUUUUUGCUUUUUCUUUUUGUGACUGUGUGGAACACAGUUCAGCUACUGAUCGACUGAUUGUGUGACUGCAGUACAUUGCUUAUUGCUUUCAUUUACGGAUCAGUGGUCUCGUUAGAUAGUAAAAUUCAUGUUAAAUUGCUGGUUUGGGGGUUAUUUUAAAAAGAGUGGAACAGAUUCAUCCAUUUUGCAUUACUUUCUAUGGGAAAGUGCGCCUUGGUUUUGGAAUGCUUUGGUUUUGGAAUGGACUUUCAGAACAGAUUAGGUUUGAGAACCAAGGCACCACUAUAAUGGCAAUGGCACCCACCUGAGAAGUGCCUGAAAAAAAGCCUUGACUACUAUUACCAUUAUUAUUACAGUGGUACCUCUGGUUACAGACGCUUCAGGUUACAGACUCCGCUAACCCAGAAAUAGUACCUCAGGUUAAGAACUUUGCUUCAGAAUGAGAACAGAAAUCGGGCGGCAGCGGCGCAGUGGCUGCAGCAGGCCCCAUUAGCUAAAGUGGUACCUCAGGUUAAGAACAGUUUCAGGUUAAGAACAGACCUCCAGAACAAAUUAAGUUCUUAACUCGAGGUACCACUGUAAUACUAAUGAUAACCACUAGGAGAAGUAGCAACAACAACAAUAUCAUCCACAUUAUUACUGGGACAUUGUUGUUGUUGUUACCACCAAACUACCAAUAAUAUGCCCCCAAUUCCCCAGCCUUUUAGAUACGAAAGUGCAGUGUGCUACAUUCCUAGAGACAAAGUUAACCAGCCACAUAACUGCCUUUCCUCUUGGCCCACAAAGUGUGGCACUGCUCUCUAGCCACCCCCCAGCAGCGAGUGGAUUGGAGUCUGCUGUUACCUCUUGCGUCCCCUCGGCACUGCUCUCUUGCCACGCAAUUUACAGGGUUCACAACAGCUUAGAGGGACAAACAGCAUUUCUCUCCACACUUGAGUUGCAACUCAAGGUCAUUUAUGCUUAUCCACCUUUUUGCAUGUUAAAGUAAUUCACUGGCAAAAAGCCAACAUUCCUCAAGGAAGCCUCGGGCGGAUUCUAAUCCAGGCUAUGUUCUGUUCCAGAUUCCAUAUCUCUUCUGUUGUCUUUAAUCAUGCUGCAGUUUGCUGCUUUCUCUCGCUGAGUCUCUGGUGAUCAAUUAUGCAUCUUCCUCUUGUUAUUAGUUCUCGGAACAUCUCUGUUUACCUCUUAGCGAGGAACAUUUCCCAGCAUACGGUUAUAUAUAUGUUACACAAUUUGGGCAUGAUCCAGCUAUAGUUUAGACAGCUUUAAAUAGGGCUGAAACGGCCUCUCCGCCUUCCCCUUCACAGCCCCUUCUCAUAUUGUGAAAGUGGAGAGGCUGUGUUUUCUGCCAUUUUGGUGUGGGGUGGCAAAAACUGAUUUACUUUUCAAGGGGAGCUCUUACGUUAUGAUUUAUUGGCAACUUAGGUGAAUUUUUCCAGCUGUGGUUGUAGUACACCCUUUGGCAAAUUCAGCCCUCAAGGCCUUUGUAGGAGGACAUUAUAUCACAACUGUUAUGUACUGAAGUUCUCACCCUGGGCCAGCAGGGGGAUACUGUAGAUAGUUAUGCAAAUAAGGGAUUGAAAGUGACGUUCAGUGAUUGGAUAGUUUUAGAAAAUUGUUACAGUUACGUUGUACUGGAGCUCUAUAUAAGCAGGCUGUCUGAACCCUUCAGUUCAGUUCUGUUCUGGCCUGUGAAUAAACAAGAGCUGUUAGAAGAAUCGCUGUGUCGUCCGAUAUGUUCACCCACAACUUAACAAGAACAAUGUCCUCAGGACCCUACUGGGAGGAAAAAGCUGCCCCCUGUGUGGUGGCCACUCACCCCCUAACAACCUGAUACCUUCUGGACAAAAAUCCAAAUCACUACUAUUAAGAUGUAAUCCAGUUCCUACUGAACUGAACCACCUAACCAUUUGGUGAUGGAAGCACAUUAUCUUUGUAGCAGGAGAUAAAUAAGAAAAUAUCACUGCUUACAAUUUGGGUACAGUAGUUAGUGCACAGUGGAUUACAGGACCUGGCUGUAUGGCUUGAUAAGAUUGCUUCCUGCUUGUUUUGCUUCAUAUCACUGGCUAGUUAGGUCCAUGGAAAAUAUUGUUUUGUUGUUGGCUUCCGUCUGUCUCGAGAGACAUUGACAUGCACUUCCGGGGGUGAAACCAAAGCACUGUCCUAGCAGCACCAAAGUAACCUCCCUGGGGUGCAGGAAUGGGUAGUGAGUAUGAAGGCAACAAGACCCCACUUCUUGGCCUCGUUGAUGUGGUCCAAAAGAAAGCAGAGCAAUACAUUUAGCACCAGCUUGGCUGCAGGAAUGGCCAGGUGGAGGCAUAUAAGGUGCCAUCCAACCAUCUUAGGGACUCCACUCCAGAUUUGUGUAAGCUUUACUCCUUAGCCUUUUCUUCUACUAAAGAUAUCCCGCAAGGCAGUGGAGGUUUAGCAUCAGAGUUUUCCUUCUCCUAGAUGGGCUAUCUUCCCAUAUGGGCAAGCCCCAUCUGUCUCUUACUUCCCUCUACCACACAUGCAGAUACCGCCUUCUUGACCUUUGGGCCCACUAUUGGUCUUGUCGGCUCAAUCUAUCCCUGAUUCAUAGAGGGUUUCAGACCCUCACCUGGUUUAGCCGAUUGAAGCUGUUUCCUGGGUUGUGGCUGCUGUUGCACAUUGACAGCCACAGGUGAGAGCUGAGUUCAGUUGUGGACCUAAGGUGGACAAGCUACCUCAGAAGGAGCAAAAUGUGUCCCCUCACCAGAGGUACUACCACUCCCUUAACACCCUGUCCACCCCAAGGAAAAUAUACAAUACGAUAAAGGCUGCAAGCACUUAGGACAGACCUAUGCGCUCUUCAGCUGUGGCAGACGGGUGUGGAAUAAUCUCAUGAGACUCCUCCCAAGCAGCCAACAUCUCUCACAGUUUUAAUUACAUUUCUCCUCAGAUUCCUCUGCAACAGCUGGCUACAUUAUAAGGCUUUGGACUUUCACCAUCUUUGCCUCAAAGGAAGUGCAUAUAUGAAGUGGGUCCAUGCUGGUUAGAUUGACAGGAAGUUGUAGGCAGGGCCAGCCUGCUUAUGAGGUGGGAUGAGGCAGCCAUCUUUGGUGGCAUAACCCCAAGAGGCAAUGCUCCCUGUUGGCAUCCCUUCCACCCCACUGCCUCAUCCUGCAGUGGCAGCUUCUGGUGAGAUCUCGCUAGAAUCUUUUGCGACCUCAUGAAUGUGGUGAGAUCUCACGAGAGCUCCAUGAGCACUCAUGAGACCUUGCCAGAACCUGCCAUUGUUGUCGCCACUUUGAGGACCCUGCCACAUGACCCAGGAAAGGGAGGCUUUGGCAGGGGCAGGGUAGUGGUGCAGGGCAGGGCAGCACAUUCAUGGUUUCUCCUCAGGCAGCAAAACAGGAUGUGCUGCCCUUGGCUAUAGGAAGCAAACAGAAAACAGAGUCUGCAGCAUCUGUCUGCAUCUUCCACUUCCAAGUGUCCAACAGGGACUGUAUAUAUCAGUUUCAGUCCUCAAGUACCACACUCUGGCAUUGGAUCACUAGAGUAUUCAGAAGGCCUACUUCAGAGCAGUGUCGUCUGGCAUUUUUUGGACCUCGCAGGGGUGCUAAGAAGGCAUGGGCAAUGAGAUCGCAGGGGCAGGACUAGUUGGUCUCCUCCCCGCCCUCCCCCCUUGCAAAUAUACUACAGACACUUAAGUGCUACAGUCGUACACCUACUUAGAGUAAACCAUUUGAAGAUUUCAGCUAUUGACUUGCCUAGCGAAAGCACAAACCAUGAAUGAAGCUGUUUUUAGCUUUGCUGUCUCAAAUUUGGAUCAUUGGUUGAUUUCAUCGUUGUGACCAUUCACUCCCCCACGCCUUCCUGUGUGUAACAGAGGAAAACCAGUCUCAGUUACUGUGGAGAUCUAAAUGUAUGCAGGAAAGGGAUUAGGCACUGAUUGAUACAGACAGUCAAUUAGUACUUCAAAGGGAAGCUGACUCCUUGUUUUAUACACACAGAGCAUGGGAUAAAAAGAUUGUAGUUUGAUGUCUUGUAAUCUCUGUUGCUUCAGUGUUGACCAGGACAGCAUGAUAUUGGGAGGUUUCUCGGAAGUUAAAAGAGCCCCGCAUUGGCUCCCAGUGGAAUGGCAGCAUUAGGAGAGACAAUGACAUUGUGUGAUCUGUGCACACUAGCUUUUCAAAAGUAUUUCAGGCUGAACUGACUCUCUGGGACUCUGACUGUUCAAGUCAAAAAGUGUUCUUAAUCUCCAUGAUGUGCUGAUCAAACCUUAAACUGUCAGGCCACAUUAUUUCCACGGAGCCAGUUCUAUUGGUGAUUAAUUAAAAUUUCUUCUUGAUUGCAUACAGUCCUUUUAAAUGUGUAAUCCAUUUAUUGUGUAGUGAGUUGAGAAUAAGGGACCAAUUCCGACAAUGUCGGGGUAACACCGACUAGCGUGCCCUCCUCUGCUGAACACCCAUGCCGGCAUAUGUUGUGUUUUGUAUGCUGGAAGGCAAUGGUGAAGUUCUGGGAAGAAUACAAAGGGUUAGGGCAAGGAUGUUAUCACUGGGGGAAAUCAUUACAAAAGUCAAACUGGAUUGAUAAUAUAUGCACCUGUGAAAUUCUGUAUCAUAAGGUAGGGAAGGACCAUGUUUUUGUACAUGCUGGAAGCUGCCCAGAGUAGCUUAAGCAACCUAGUCAGAUGAGCGGGCUACAAAUAAAUUAUUAUUAUUAUUCAGAAGGUCCCAGGUUCCAUCACUUGCAUCUCCAGGUACACUUCUAUACCAGAAGAGAGAGGAAGAGGUGUGAGGACAGCACUAUGCAAGCCAGUGGAUGCUCAGGUGCGUAGCAGAGCCCUGCCCUGUUUUCCACUACUGGGAAAAUGCAUGCAUUAGGGUAACAUACGUAUUAAAAAUGCAUGUAUUCAUGAUUUCUUCUAUUUCACUUGUCCCACAGUGUGAGCAGGAUAAACAGACCAAGAAGCUUUGGCUUUCCAUUACAACAAAACCGCAGGUUGUGGUUUGUUGGCUUCUAACAAGACAUGAAGCAUACGGGUGGCGCUGUGUGUUAAACCACAGAGACUAGGGCUUGCUGAUCAGAAGGUCGGCGGUUCGAAUCCCCGUGACGGCGUGAGCUCCUGUUGCUCAGUCCCAGCUCCUGCCAACCUAGCAGUUUGAAAGCACGUCAAAGUGCAAGUAGAUAAAUUGGUACUGCUCCAUCAGGAAGGUAAAUGGCAUUUCCGUGCACUGCUCUGGUUCACCUGCUGGCCACAUGACCCGGAAGCUGUACGCCGGCUCCAUCAGCCAAUAAAGCGAGAUGAGCGCCACAACCCCAGAGUCAUCCGUGACUGGACCUAACAGUCAGGGGUCCCUUUACCUUUAACAAGACAUGAGCAUCAAGCCAAUGACAAACCAUAGAUGCAGGCUGAAUCGUGAUCAUGUUGUUAGGCUUCAACAGACCAUGAUCUCUAGUUUGGGCAUCACUAUCUACCAAAGCUUACUGGUUUGUUUAUCCCAUUUGAGCUAGGGAUGUGUGAGUGAUCAUGCCACAUAUACUAGCAUGUGGCUCAUUCAAGAUAAACCAAAAUAAAUGGGAAAAUCUACCUUAUCAAUAGAUCCAAACGUAACCUCUGCCUCUAACGUAGGCCUGUGCAAUUGCCAGGCUUCAUGCGACCUUCUAACCUAGGUUAUGGAAGCUCACCAAGAUCAUGGUACACUCCUUGCUUAUGCUGCUUGCCUAGCACUGCAAAGGACAGGGAGUCUCCUGCAUGCAUGAUCGCUGGCCUACAUUCAGAUUGGUGGCUCACUAACUCUGCAGAUCCAUACCCUCCCAACAUUUCUCUGAUGAAAGUAGGGAUGUUCUAUUCCAUAAUAAUAAUAUUUUUAUUGUUUAUACCCUGCCCAUCUGACUGGGUUGCCCUGGCCACUCUGGGCAGCUUCCAACACAUAUAAAAACAUAAUAAAACAUUAAACAUUUAUAUAUAUGAAAAAAUCCCUAUACAGUGCUGCCUUCAGAUGUCUUCUAAAAGUUGUAUAGUUACCUCCUUGGCUCAGGGUCACAUAACGCCAUACCAUCCAACGUUUCUCCAGUGAAAAGAGGGACAUUCUACCAUACCUUCCAACACUUCUCUGAUGAAAAUAUGGACAUCCUAAGGAAAAGCGGGACAUUCUGGGAUCAAAUCAGAAACUGGGACGGCUUCUGUAAAUCUGGGACUGUCCCUGGAAAACAGGGACACUUGGAGGGUCUGUCAGAUCUUCCCUAAUGUAUGCAUGGCCCAAGCAAUCUGCAAGUCACAAAGCCCAGUAACUGUAUCUUAAGUAAGAUGAUGUUUUCUGAGACCUUCAGCAUUUUUUCUUGUUUUCCUAUCAAUUCUUUUAAAUUGAAUCUCAAUGCACUAUCCAUUUCUUUCAAAUUCUUUAAAAUGAUAUAACAGAAAUGUCUUGUUUUCCCCAGCUUAAUGUUGAAAAUCCAAGUGAAAUCUCCACAGCAAACAACAGGUUUAUUGAUUUCAGGAGUCCACAGCACUGUUUUCUUGCCAGAAGGGGAAAAAGUUGGAAAUGAGCCAUCUUUAUUUUAAAGGCCUACUCUCUCCGCCACCCCCAUUACCCACCCCAAUCAACCUGUUGCCUCAGCAACCAAUGUCCCUGCUAUCUGGCAAAAGACGGCUUUCUUUGGUUGAAUUGCGACAUGAAGCUGAAAGGGGUGCAGAAGGGCAAACCAUGAAAACUCACCAUUUCAUUAUUUGAAAAUGUGAAUUGCUCUGAAAUGGAUCUGCACCAUGAGCUAGCCACAGCACCCCUCAACCCGCAUUCAAAUCCUUCAGUACCACAAUGCUCCAUUUCCGUUAAUUAAAUAAUUACACCAAACUGUCUAAAAGACAACAUUCAGCUGAAUUCAUGCAUUCCAAACUGUUCUUUGGUCUAAACGAAGCUGCCAUUGUUCUGCAAUGAAGGGUUUUGGUUUGUUUUUCUCUUAGCAAAAGGUGUUGUUGCUGUUUCUUCAAAGCGUUUAAUAUUCUGCGGAAAUUAUGGCAUUUUAUGUAAAUAGUGUAAAACACUAUCUUCAAAACCUCAGCUGUUCUUUUAAUCCGAUGAACUUGACCUUAUGAUCGAGUGCAGUUGAUGCGUCUCCAAGAUGGUGCUCAAAAAAGUUGAUUAAAAAAGGAUUGCUAGUGCUUAUCUGAGAUGGAGCCCAACAUUAUUAAUGGAAAAAGUAGAAAUAUUAAUUUGGUGGCUCCUGAUCUUGGCAAUCUGUCCAUCCGUAUAGAUUAUCUUGGCAGGCUAACUCUUGGAAGAAUCAGAAGGUGGUCAAAUGGUCCUGUUACAGUUCCACAAUGGUCCCAGGUGUUUACUUAGAUUUCCAUUCUAAAUCCUAAAGAUAUAAAUGGAUGUUUGAUUUCCCCCCGAGAUAUAUUUAGUGUAGUAUAUGAGAUCAUCAUCUUGCCCAGGGAUGAGGAACGUUAUUCGUGCUGAGGGCCAGAUGUCCUUGCGGGAAAGGGCCACAUUCCACAUUGCCCAACCCCUCCCCAAAAAGUGAAUGAAUAAUCAGAAGUAAAAAUAAGGGAAGGAAGAACAUUAGGCAGUUUAUUGAAUGUAAAGGGUUUUUAAAGAAGGAUGAAAGCCAUUCUAAAACUAUGUAAGAAUGGCUGUGGGGGGAGAGGAAUUCUAGUAAUGAACACUCCUCUCAGUGAUAGCUACCCUUCCCAAAAUUCCUUUUCUCAAAGACAAAUCAUUUUGGUUGGGAAAGUGACACCUGACAAAGAAAGAAGGCACAUUCCCCAUUUCUAAGGAAGAGUAUUUCUCAGGAAGAAAAAAAUUGCAAAUACCCAAACUAUUUCAACAAGCUUGGAAUGCAGUCAGUUUCCACUUCCGUCAAGGGGAGUCCACCCCCAUCAUGAUUCCAAAAAGACAAGCCUUACCAUCAGUGGUGUAGUGGAAGAGGAGCACAGGUGAGCUAUAGGGCCUCUAAAAUCCCAGGUUAUAUGAUGGGCCCUCCUUGCUGUGCAAAAUGAAUAGGCUUUCAAGUUUGGUUACGUGGCAGAUUAGCAUAUGAACCUACCUGGAUCCUGAGAUCAUCUUCUGAGGCCCUUCUUCGUGUGCCGCCUCCUCGAAAGGUCCAGAGGGUGGCAACACAAGAACGGGCCUUCUCCGCAGUGGCUCCCCAUCUGUGGAAUGCUCUCCCCAAGGAAGUUUGCCUGGCGCCAUCAUUAUACACCUUUAGGCACCAAGCAAAAAGGUUCCUUUUUAACCAGACCUUUGCCUGACUCGAUUUACAUUCUGUACCCUUUUUAAAAUGCUGGCUCUCUUUUGGGGGCGGGUAUUGGGCUGUUGUUGUUUUGAUUUUAUGUAUUUUUAUGUGAACUGCCCUGAGACCUUCGGGUAUAGGGCGGUGUCAGGGAACUGCCAUCGGAAGGAAGGGAGGUGAAAGGACUCAGACAGGUUGGAAGAGACUCAGCAGCUGAAGAGGGAACCAGCAAGGGGAGAGAAGCUGAACUGAGGGAGGUGAAAGGGCUCAGACAGGUUGGAAGAGACUCAGCAGCUGAAGAGGACACCAGCAGGGGGGAUGGCUCAGAGAUACUUCCAGCGAAAACAGUGGUGAGGUUUCCGGACCUCCUGUAGGGACACCCACUCCUCGCCGGAAACUGUCACGCAGAGAGUCCAGAAGACGUGUUUCCGUUAAGGAGCUUUUAUGUUGGAAGCGAUUACGAAAGCAACCACUGUCGGAAUCUUCUAGUGACUAGAGGAGCCAUGUCAGAGGGCCUCAGUCACAGACAGAGGUUUGUGGACUUGAACAAACUCUGAGGGAAGACGAUGGUACACACAAGCAGCUCAUCUUCCCAUCACAGCAUUCCGACAGUCUUUGAGCGCAGCUUGUGCAGGAGACGGCAGAAUGCGCCACCCAGCAGGCCCCGGCGCAGCAGGGGCUGGAGCGGGUCCAAGCCUGGAAGAAAGGUACCGGGUGUUGGAGGUCCAGCUGGCGCUGCAGGCGGCGAGGCUGGAGGAGAGGAGGGCUCAAGAUGCAGACAAAGGGAGAAAGCCACCCAGCUCGCCAGAAAGGUACCAGGAUUGGUGCAGAAAUUUGGGGGGGAGCCCAAAGACUAUCAUAGCUUUCGGACAGAAAUGCAAUAUGCCCUCAAUCUGCAGUUUGAUGAUUUCCCUGAUGAGGAAUCACGAGUGGCUUUUGUGAUUGGGCAUCUUGAAAAGGGCGAGAGACUGGGUUAGACCCCUGAUGGCAGCGCAUAGUGACGUCCUAAAGGACACGAUGAAGUUCUUUCGCGCCAUGGAUCUGAUGUUUUCCAGCGAUAUUGAAAAGGGAGUGGUGCGCAGACAGUUAAUGGCUUGCAAACAGGGAGCCGAUCUGUACGUGAGUACUGGACUGAGUUCACCAUGCUGAUACACAGAUUGGGGUGGGACUUAUCGGCGGAACCCAUUCAAAUGCUCUUUGAAGAAGGGCUUUCUUCGGCUGUGAAAGAUGAACUUUCCCGGGCGCCCAGGGCGGAGUCUAUGGACCAGCUGACCAAAUCAGCGCUGGCCAUAGGAGCGCGCCAGGAGGCGAGAGCAUUGGAGAGGCGGGAAGGGAAGGGGAACGUUGGAAGGAGUUCCGCAUUCCAGACAUUCCAGAGCCAACUUUCCCGCCGGCAGAGCCGAUGGAAAUCGGAACAGCGCGCGCGCGCAUGGUUUCAAAGCCCAGUGAGGGGGAAAAAGGAGGGAAAAGGCGCCCGGAAAUGCUAUCUCUGCCAACAGCCAGGGCACUUUGCCAGAGUCUGCCCCCAGAGGAAGGAAUGGCAAGGGAUGGUGGGAGCUGUGGAGGGAAGAGAGGAAAAAAAUACCGGAGCAACUAAAAGCCAACGCCUGGCUGCCAUUGUCGGGGCACAGCAGCCAGGCCAAAGAGCAGUGAAAGUGCCCACGCCAGAACCUCCUAAACCCGCCCUAGUGAUAGAAGUGACACUAGAGCUGCCAAGCGGACACCCUCUAACGCUAACGGCGCUGUUGGACCCAGGCAGCUCCUGCAAUUUCAUGAGCAAAGAGUUUGCAGCUGAACACCAGAGACAGCCGCUCCCUUUAAGCACCCCCCUGCAGGUAACCACGAUCGAUGGCAGGGAGCUGUUGGGAGGAGAAGUCAGCUUGCAGACCGUCCCAAUGAUAAUGAAGGUGGCAAGGCACACCGAACUAAUAGCGUUUAAUGUGGCCACCUUGGGAGGAGCUCCCAUUAUAUUGGGGAUGAGCUGGCUAGCGUUACAUGAUCCGCUGGUGGGCUGGCAUCAAAGAGUGGUUUCUUUUGGGUCAGCACAUUGCUUAGAACACUGCAAAGAGGAAAGGUUUUGGCAGGGGCCCAAGCCACCCUAGCAGGGACUGAAGUAACGGAGAACGUGAAGGUACCACGACAAUACGCAGAUCUCCGCGACGUCUUCAGCGAAAGGGAAGCUGACCAACUACCACCGCAUAGAGCCUUUGACUGUCAAAUCAAUUUGCUCCCUGGGGCACAGCUCCCUGUGGGCAAGCUGUACGCCAUGUCAGACAGAGAGAUGCAGGAGCUAAGAGAGUUCAUUGACAAGAACCUGAAGAGAGGGUUCAUCAGAGAGUCCAGGGCGGUGGGGGUCAGCCCAGUGUUUUUGUGGACAAAAAAAACACGAACAAGCCGAGACUGGUGUGUGACUUCAGGGCCUUAAAUGCAGUGUCAGAACCAGUGGCCUUCCCGAUGCCCAGGAUUGACGACAUUUUGACAAGGGUGCGGAAGGGAAAGAUUUUCACCAAGCUGGAUCUAAGGUGUGCGUACUACCUGAUACGAAUAAUGUAGGGUGAUGAAUGGAAAACCACCAUGUUCACCCCUUUAGGGGCAUUUGAAUACUUAGUUAUGCCCUUCGGUCUACAAGCAGGCUCCGCAACAUUUCAAUCGUUUAUGAACCACGUCCUGGGGCCGUUGCUUUACAAGAAUUGUGUGGCCUUCUUAGACGACGUGUUGGUGUAUUCUGAGAAUGAGGAGCAGCAUGUGAGAGACGUCAGAGAAGUGUUGAGCAGGCUGCAAGCCAACCAGCUGUGGGUGAAACUGGAGAAGUGUCAGUUUCAUACCAAGGAGGUGGAAUUCCUGGGGUAUCGCUUGUCUGACAAGGGGUUGGCCAUGGAUCCCGGCAAGGUCCAGGCGGUACUGGAAUGGAAAACACCCAAAACAAGGAAGGAUGUGCAGAGGUUUUUAGGAUUUGGGAACUUCUAUCGUAAGUUCAUCCCAAACUUUGCCCACCUGGCGGGGCCCAGUCCGGACUGGCUCAGCCGUAAGCCGAAGUUCGGGUGGACGGAGGAGGCGGAGCCCGCAUGUGAGGAACUAACAAGGGCCUUCGCCUCGGAACAACAGCUCCUGCAUGUGGAUUUACAAAAACCGAUGAGAGUGGAAACUGACGCAUCAGACAGAGCGGUUGGGGCGGUGCUUCUCCAGCCAGGGAAGGAGGAGUCAGAGUGGAGACCGUGUGCUUUUUUUUCGCGAAAGCUGAACAAAUCCGAGAGGAACUACACGGUGUAUGACCGAGAACUACUAGCCAUUCAUGAGGCGUUCCGGAAAUGGAAGCAAUCCAUCGUCAGCUCCAACUCAACUUAGAAAGGGCGAAGGAAGAAUACAAGAGGCAGGCAGACAAGAACCGAAGGGAAGGUGAAACCAUAAGGGUUGGAGAUAGGGUGUGGCUGUCAACACGAGGGUUGCCGUUCAAAGGAGGUUGUAAGAAAUUAAGACCCAGGAGGUUGGGUCCCUUUGAGGUCAUUCAACAGGUCAACCCAGUGGCUUUCAGGCUCCGGUUACCCAACCACAUGAAACUGCACCCAGUAUUUCACAGGUCGUUACUGUCACCGUACGAGGGGGGACGAGGAGGGAUGGCCACUCGGGGACCGGUCAUAGAAGAAAGAGAAUGCAGCAGUCAUGUGGCAGAAAUCCUUGAUGCCAGGUGGAAGGGGAAUCAGGUGGAGUAUUUGGUAGCGUGGGAAGGAGAACCGAGUCAGAAAACACGUGGGUAAUGGCCGAAGAUAUCAAUGACGAGGUAUUGAUAGAAACGUUCCAUCAAAGGUUCCCGAGGAAACCUCAGCCUGUGGAGAGGUUCCGGAGGGAAUACUUUGGGACCACUGAGGAGGAGGAGGAGUUGGAAGGAUUCCCAGAAUCGGAAGGGGAAGGGGAGAUGGACUCGGAGGAGGAGGAGUGCUUCGAGACCAGGAACCGCAACAGGUGGAGAGAAGUGUUCGAGACAUCGGAAGAUGAAGGAAGUUCAUUCCGGGGUUUUGCCUCCUCACCGCCCGUAGAGGAGGGCGAGAGGGGGUGAAGGGGGCCCUGGAGGGGAGGUGGAUGUCAGGGAACUGCCAUCGGAAGGAAGGGAGGUGAAAGGACUCAGACAGGUUGGAAGAGACUCAGCAGCUGAAGAGGGAACCAGCAAGGGAGAGAAGCUGAACUGAGGGAGGUGAAAGGGCUCAGACAGGUUGGAAGAGACUCAGCAGCUGAAGAGGAAACCAGCAGGGGAGAGAAGCUGAACUGAGGGAAAGGGAGCUGGGGGAUGGCUCAGAGAUACUUCCAGCGAAAACAGUGGUGAGGUUUCCGGACCUCCUGUAGGGACACCCACUCCUCGCCGGAAACUGUCACGCAGAGAGUCCAGAAGACGUGUUUCCGUUAAGGAGCUUUUAUGUUGGAAGCGAUUACGAAAGCAACCACUGUCGGAAUCUUCUAGUGACUAGAGGAGCCAUGUCAGAGGGGCUCCGUCACAGACAGAGGUUUGUGGACUUCAACAAACUCUGAGGGAAUACGAUUUUACGCACAAGCAGCUCAUCUUCCCAUCACAGGCGGUAUAGAAAUUAAAUUAAAAAAUAAGAAAUAAGAAAAAUAGAGGCAGUCAGAGGCUGUAUACUCACUUCAGUGCGGUUCCUACUUUAUGCCAGCAGUUUAACACCAGCAAGACUGUUAAGAAGACUGCUUGCAAGUUAUGCUAGCCAGUUUGUUUGCAUUUCUAAUUGAAGGCUAGAGGUUGCAUUUCAAUUGGCUGAGGAUCUUUUGUGAGAGCUCAAUAUUGUUGCCCGCCACCCCAAUCGCGGACCAGCAGUGUGAGAUUCCAGGAGUUUCAGGUGCUUAUCCAGGGCUAAUGUUUCCUUUUGGAGUGAGGCAAAGCACAGACUGUGGUUUAUUUGUGACAAUUGGGUUUAUUUAUACAUAUUUUCAACCUGAGCUCACAGCGGAUAGACUCACAGCAUUAGCAACCCAAAAGGGUAUUGUUUCUCCCAUAGCUGCAGCAUUGGAUUCAAACUGAAAUCAAACAUUGCUCCCUCUCUACCUGUCCAGCAUACAGCUUUUCUUCUAACCAAAUUAUUAUUAUUAUUAUUAUUAAUAAUAAUAAUAAUAAUAAUAAUACCCCAUCUGAUGGCAACUUUCAACUCUAAACUCUGGCUUCAUCCUUCUAACGAAUUACAACUGAUUUUCCAUCUCACACAGAGCUCCUUUUCCUUUGUUCUCCUAAUGGCUCAUCGCCCAGUCAAUCACCUCAACCCAGGAAAACAGCCUAGCUUAUAUUUGUAGGAUCUCACAUGCAGCCUGCUUUCUUCCUCCCCCCUCAACUCAUAACAAUUGCUUUUAUAAGUUGAACCCAUGCUGUCUCACUUGUGUGAGACAGCAGUGGUGCUUUGUCACAUCUCUAGGAUUGUCCUCAGGAGAUUCCUGGAGAUUGAGGUUCAUUCCAAGGCAACCUCCAACACCGGAGUGAAGGAAGUCAGGACAAGACCAUAAUGGAGGCUGCACCCCUUCACACUCCAGCUCCUUCCUUGGCUCCCCCUCUCCCCUUGCACCUUCACCCGCCCACCACCACAGCUGCCACCUCCACCACAGCUUCUGUGGCCUCCGCCACUGCUGUACUUCCAGAAGCUGGUGUCACUUCCAAGAAGUACGUCAGCUGGAAAGCUGCGGUGGAAGGAGGAAGAAGUGGUGGCUUGCAGCAGGAAGCUAAAUUUUACUUACAUUUUUUCCUUUUUUUGUCCUGACACAGCGUGGGGUGAAUGCACAUCUUUUGGUCCUGCACUCUGAUACGGCCAAAGCACGGGAGCCAACAUGGACAUCUGGGUUUGGGAUCUAAAGUCAGGGCAGCUUCUGUAAAUCUGUGGUGCCCCACUUAAAACAAUAUAGUUGCAUGGUAUGCUAUUGGGUACUGGGGAGGUAUAGCCGGAUGAGAAUUGCAAGGACAAGAUACUGAGGCCAAGGGGCUCAUGUUUUCCUUCUCGCGUUGAAAUUCUCAACCCACGUGUAUAAGGUCUUCUGUGUGUCAGAAAUGGCAAACAUGGGUAUGUGAGGAGAACCUGAGCUUACAGGGUUAAACAGCUCAGACUGUACGCCCUGCCUACAGUUGGGAGGGGGGAGCUACGUCAGUUCCGAGAGACUAAAGUCUUUGUUCUGUCUCUCUACUUUCGCUUUUGAGGAGAGAGGACGUGUUUUUGCGAUGCUGUUCGCUGUGAUAGAUAAUGGAUAGCCUGCUGUAAAUAAAACUGCUUUUAGCUGCUAAUAUCCUGAGUGGACUUCAUUUAAGCACACUGAAGAAUGCACUGGAGUGUUUUGGUUUCCUCUUACCGCUGUUGAGACUCUGCUAUGCUCAGAUGAGUCGGACUCUUGGAAUGCAGAGGCCUACGCAAUGGGGGAAGCGUGCCGGACGCUUAUCUGAGCAAUAAAUCAAGAUAUCCCAGAGGUUAUGGGGGCAGUAAUUGCAAUUAGAGGAAGCCUGCUUUGAUGUGCUGUGUGCUUAAGAAGGCUGAGAAACUGAGAAGCUGUUGUUUUUGCUGCUGGAAGGCAAUAGUCCUGCUUUGAGGCUUCGCCUGGAAAAAAGCAGGGAAGCUGGCUGCAAAGCUGGAUGCAAGCUGUGUGCUGCAAAGAGCCACUGGAGGCCUCUCCUUUGAAGCUGGCUGGUACGCGUGAGUACUUCAAAGCCCCAAUGAUGGGAGCACUGGGGGAGGAGAUGGCUGAGCUCCAGGACUUUUAUGAUGUCCCGUUUGAAAAGCUCACAACCCAGUCCUGGGAUAUCUGGGUUAGAAGAGUCAGGGGGUGGUUUUUGGCCACAGGGUUCUGGAGUAUAGCCCAGAAGGAGCCCGCCCCACCCAUGCCAGUUGCUGCUGAAGAAGGAGGAGCAGAAUGGGAGGCUGCUCUCCUGGAAGAUAGAGAGCUGAGAAUGCAAAGGGAGCUCUGCAUGUUGAGAGCAAGCGUGGACGCUAUGCUGUUGCCCCACCUGGAGGGCAUUGAGUCGGCUCAGGCCGCCUGGCAGGUGCUGAGGAGUCUGUGUGAGAACUCAGCAGGAGCCCAGGGCCGGGAGAAAGCCGAGAGCAGGCAGGAAGCUGAGAGCCCAGAGGGGGCUACUGGCCAUGUUCCUAAAGUUACAGCUGGGAGUAGCUGCUUUGUCUCCGAGGGGCCGUGUGAUGUUGAGGCCUACAACCAGAGUGCUGGGGAGCGUGCAGGCCCAGGCUGUGCACCCAAAGGUGGGGGUGCAGGGAACAAAGNNNNNNNNNNNNNNNNNNNNNNNNNNNNNNNNNNNNNNNNNNNNNNNNNNNNNNNNNNNNNNNNNNNNNNNNNNNNNNNNNNNNNNNNNNNNNNNNNNNNUGCUUAUCCGUCAGGGAAUCAGUCCAGGAUUCUGCUCAGCAACAGUGCUGAAUUCUGUGAGCAGAGUGGCUGGGCAAGGAUACAUGGGAACCCUGACAUCCUGUCAGAGAGUCUGCUAGACUCUGCUGAUGAAGGAGAGGAAGAGGUUGAACCUGCUACUGAGGCUCAGAGUCCAGGCCCAGUGCAGGCAGAGGGAGAACUUCUCCCAAGGCUGUGAAGAUCGAGCAACGCAGUGCUCCAUCUUCCCCCACAGGUUCGGCUGAGAAGUCCAGAAGGCGCAGUAAGUCAGAGGGAGCUCUCUGAUGCCAAGGACGUUCUGGCUGGCCCUAGUGGGUCAGAGGGGUUCCUGAGUAGUGCUGCGCCGUUCAACACGGACGACCAAGGGAAACCUCCUGAAAGGUUUGCCGUCACUAGUGUGUGGGUCGGAAUGGCACAGUGUGAACCCGAGAGUUUUGAGGAUGUUCAGAAACUGCCUCAGGAAGAAGCCAGGAAAUGGCAUGAGGCGAUGCAGAAGGAGAUGAACUCAAUGGAGUCUCUAGGUGUGUUCUCCCUCACGAAGUUGCCGGUGGGUGAAAAGGCAGUGGGUAGUCGCUGGGUUUACCGUCUUAAGCCCACAGCGACAGGAGAACCGCAGUAUAAGGCCAGAUUAGUGGCGAGAGGAUUCACACAGCAGAGUGGGUUGCAUUAUACGGAGAGUUAUGCGCCCACGUGUAAGAGUGAGUCUCUACGCUUGGUCUUGGCCAUCGCUGCACAAAGAGGUUUGCUGGUGCAUCACUUUGAUGUGGAUGUUGCUUACUUGAACUCAGACCUCCAGGAGGAUCUGUACAUGCUUCCUCCUCCAGGGUUUGAGGGCAAUGAGCGAGGUACUGUGUGGAAACUUCACAAGUCAAUUUACGGCCUGAAGCAGUCGGCCAGGAAUUGGAACUUGUGCCUGAAUGAAGCUUUGGAGAAGCUAGGUUUCAGGAAGAGUCUUGCUGACAGUUGCUUGUUCCUUAGGGGAUCAGGAGACUCACAGGAACUGGUGUUGUUUUACGUUGAUGACAUCAUCCAUGUUGGAAAGGCAGACAAACAGGUGCAGAAGUUUGCCAAAGAGCUUGGGAAGCGGUUUCAGCUCAAGGACCUGGGUGCAGUAAAGAUCUACCUAGGUGUCCAGAUAGCGAGAACUGAGGAUGGUAGCUUCUUGCUAAGUCAGAAAGGCAAGAUUGAGCAGUUGCUGGAGAAGUUCAGAAUGUCCGAUUGUGCAGGGGUUCGGACACCCAUGGAGACAGAACUUCGUGAAAGAUAGCCAGCAAGCAGAAAGUGCUGAGUUUGAGAAUGCUGAGCUCUUUCAGUCAGCUCUAGGUAGUCUGUUGUAUCUGUCCCAAUGGAGCAGACCAGACAUUGCCUUUGCCACCAACCUGCUAAGUAGGAGAGCGUCAAAGCCCAGUGUGAGUGCUUGGCACGGUAUCAAGCGGGUACUGCGCUACCUGCAGCAUACCAAAGACUUCUGUCUUAAGCUGCCAGCUGAAGGUGAGGCGAAGCUCACAUGCUAUGCGGACAGUGACUGGGCGAAUUCGCAGGACCGCAAGUCUGUGUCUGGGUUGAUGGUAAAGUUUGGGAAGUCACUAGUUGGGUGGAAGUCCCGGAAGCAAAGUCUCAUUGUGCUGUCUUCUACUGAGGCUGAAUUCAGUGCACUGUCAGAUUUGUGCCGAGAACUAGAGUUCUAUAGAUGCUUGGUGCAAGAGAUCUAUGGGGAUUGUAGCUUGCCCAUCAUGGUUUGGGAAGACAAUCAGCCUUGUUUGAAGUUGGUUGAAUCUGCGCAAUUUAAAGCGAGAACCAAGCAUCUGGACAUACGUUUCCGAAAUGUGUGUCAGAGUGUUCAGUCAGGUUUGAUACGACUGAAGUACUGUGCCAGUCACAGUAACCUGGCCGAUGGAUUUACCAAACCUUUAAGCUUCCAGCGUCAUGGGGAGUUUUGUGGUGGUUUGGAGUUGGGGGUAAGUUCUGUACUUACGUUCCCCACAGUAGCGCAGGGCUAGAGGGGGUGUGAGGAGAACCUGAGCUUACAGGGUUAAACAACUCAGACUGUACGCCCUGCCUACAGUUGGGAGGGGGGAGCUACGUCAGUUCCGAGAGACUAAAGUCUUUGUUCUGUCUCUCUACUUUCGCUUUUGAGGAGAGAGGACGUGUUUUCGCGAUGCUGUUCGCUGUGAUAGAUAAUGGAUAGCCUGCUGUAAAUAAAACUGCUUUUAGCUGCUAAUAUCCUGAGUGGACUUCAUUUAAGCACACUGAAGAAUGCACUGGAGUGUUUUGGUUUCCUCUUACCGCUGUUGAGACUCUGCUAUGCUCAGAUGAGUCGGACUCUUGGAAUGCAGAGGCCUACGCAAUGGGGGAAGCGUGCCGGACGCUUAUCUGAGCAAUAAAUCAAGAUAUCCCAGAGGGUAUCUGUUAUCAUAGGAGAAAAUAGAAACAAAUGUGGUCUGUUUCACAAGGCUAGAAUGAAGACAUGAUCAUGGCUUCAGUUUAAAAAAGAUCUGAAGUUUGAUUUUCAAGUCAUUUGAAGUCUCCUUGCUUUGUGAUGUCACUUUCUCACGACUGUAUGAAUGGCUCGCUCAUGAGGACUAUUAUGAAUGUCUGUUUGGGUGUUGCUCAGUGGUUGUGAUGGCCUGGGAAUCUGAUUCAGAAGCUGAAUCUGAGGAGUCCCAGCCUGCACAGGAGUCCACGCCUCCUGGGCCGGCUGAGCCGGGGCAGGGGCUUGAAUCUGAGGGGCCUGCACCUGUGCCGGGUCCUCAGGAGCAGACACCAGAUGUAUCCACUCUGGCUCCGGAGGUGAUUGAGGACCCAUUGCCUGCAGGUGCGCCUCUCCCAGAAGCUCAGGGCAGAGAGGCAGAGGGAACUGGUUUCUCUCAGGAGGAGUGCUCGCCCUAAGGCCAGGAGAGGCGGGUCACCUGUGGGCCGGGACUGCCCUAGGCCCCAGAGGAGAUAAAGGCCAGUCAGCCCAGUCCCAGGUUGCGGGAGCAACGUUGUUGGAAACCUGUUUCUGCCAGCACCCAGACCUGUUCUUCCGGAGUUCCCGACCACGCCCGGCUUCUUGCUUUGGACCCCACUUCACCCUUGGUGGACAGUCUCCAGACCCUCGACCCAGGAUCAGACUCUGACCACGCCUCUUGGUAAACCCCCCCCCCCGGGUCCAGCACAGUGGUAAAGCAUCUGCCUUGCCCACAGAAGUUCCGAGGUUCAUCUCCUGGCAUCACUGUGCAGGGAGACUUCUCCCUGAAACCCCGGAGGACCUCUGCUGAUCAAUGUACAUAAUACUAUACUAGACAGAUGAGCAGCAAUUUCAGAUGCUCCUCUGUUUGGCAACAUUCUUUCCAUGCUCCAGAUCCAAAUGUGUGAUGGCUCUGUGAAUUUAAGAGGUCGUUUCAAAGCAAAGGAAGAGAGCAUUUGGCAACAAUGCAGGCAUGUUCCUCAGUUCAGAGAUCUGGCUGGAAACAUUCAUUUGUGAUUCGAGGACCUGCCCCCUUAGCUUGGGAUAAGAAAGACACAUGGACACAGUAUGAUAGGUUUAUGGGCUGGAAAAGGCCACAAAUUUAUUGAUUACAGCAUGUGAGAGGUAUUGGCUUAGGCAUUGGAAUAACAGCAACGUUGACUCCACCCACUCAGUGAGGGGUGAGCCUAGCGGGGCUUAAUCACCAGUAGGGGGAGCCUGUUGAUGCAAAUAUAACUGUAAGCUUUCCCCUGAUGUCACCGGGGGUCGCGCCAUGGCCACCAGUCCAGCAGGGCAUUGGACAGGAUCCACGACCGCUGGAUUCCUUAGACAGACGCCUCCAAACCUUGCCGCUGAAGCGGAUGCCACUUCUGAGGAGUCUGCUCCAAAGCCGCGAUGCUGUUUGCUAGCUGCAUAAAAAAGGUGUGCCGAUAAGCUGGGGAGAAAAACGAAGCCUUCGAAGUCCUGUGACUGGCAAGCUUGCAGAAUGACGAAGUCUUCAAAGACGGGUGAUCCGAUGAAGCAACCGGCAGCGCAAUGAGGGAAGGAGCUGCUGCGGCCGUGUUUAAGCGGCUAAACCCCGCCCCCGAGCCUGCCGCUGAUAGGCAGGCUCCCUGGGGGCAUGGCGCGUCAGCGAUGAUGACGAGCAGGGGCCGGAACGCCCCCUGCUCCGCACGGGAACGGUUCCCGAUCACAACGCCUCCCCUCCGUGAGGAUGAGAGGAUUUCUGCAUCACCCUCCUCAAGAUAGGAAAGAGCACAUUCUCCAGAUGAUUCCUUCACCCCAUUGUAGCUGGAUCUCUGAAGUUAUGACCGCAGCAUGAGCAUCCAGUUUGGGUUCAAUUGCUCUCAACAGAGAGUGCAUAAAGCAAAGCAUAGCCUCAAGAAACUGGGCAAGAGCAUAGCGGAACUUGGUUUAGAGAUGCCGUUUCAGAGUCUCAAAGACCGUACGGAACAAGCCUUGGAUUAAAAACACCGGGCAAGGAGACAAGCAUAUUUUGGCUAGAACCAAAUGAGUUUUGCUGAAGUUCAGAGGAAGUAGAAGGGCAAAAGUAAAUGAAAUCUUGCUUAUUCUAAUUGGAGCUGAAAGUCUAUCCCUUUGGAUUUAUUUAAACAUAUUACUAAAAUCAUGGCUGGCUCCAGGAUGUUGAAUGUGUCAAGGGUAGGGCCCGGUUUCUCUCACACCCAGUCACACACUCUCUCUCUCGCCAUCCUCUCUCUUACACACACACACACACACACACACACACACAAAAUGAGACCACAUACCGCUUCCAAACACAUUUCCUUGUGCUUUGCAACUUGUGGGCCAGCAGGUUACUCUCUGGGCAGUAUCCAAUUAGCAUGGAUUUAUUUUUGCACAAUGAAACUCGCCCAAACCGCACACCAUAGCCACGUCUAUUCUGGAGGGUUCGGGGUGGGGACCUGGAACAGAUGGGGUGGGGGCAUGGGAGAGGAGAAGAAGAUCCACUGCUCCAAUGUAAAUCCUGUUACUAACAGAAUGAAUGAGUUCCUUAGCACUACAUUUAAUAAAAAUGUCUCUGUGCCCCCUCUUACUGCUUCUGUCUUUCUGACUGGCUCCACCGUUAGAGCCUGUUGGUGAUUUCUUGAUAAUUUCUCAGGCUGUCACCCAGGUAAAGAAAAAAUUUAAAGUCCUUUUGGUUUCUUUGUGUGGAAUGAGUCUACAUGCAUACACUUCUGGUCUGUUUCUGGUCUUUUCAGGGCUUUUUGUCAACCGGAACACACCAGAAUUCAGGUGGGCGCCAUUGCCAUUAUCAGAGGACAAGGUGUGUUCCAGCACUUAUUUUUCUUGAAAAAUAGGUCUAUUUCAUUUCCUCAUAUGUUCAUUCUUUAAUAUGUUUUGUCUGGUUUCUGCAUUCAUCUGUGUGGUUGUUGUUUUUAACAAAAUAUUUAAAUGUGUAUUCUUGAACUUAUUUUCUCAAGAAGUAUGUAUUUCUAAGCAUAUUUUUUCUCAAAUAUCUAAACACACUUUAUGUCGGAUCGAGGGAUAACUUUGUUCCAAUCUGCAAGAUGCAGAAUGGGCCAGGAGGACAGUACAAUAGUUCAGCAGUUUAUCAGAUUUCAAUGAGCUUUGUUUGCUGUUAGAUUUGGACAAAUACAUUCAGCAGCGUAGCAUACCUUCUGAAAUUUCUCUGAUGAAAAUAGGGACGUCCAGUGCUAUUUUUCUAGAAAAAGAGGUUCCGGAACUCACCAUGAACACCUCCCUCAUUCUCUUAGAAUACCAAUGGCGCCCACCUGAGAGGUGCCAGAACUGAGUUCCAGAGAGUUCUGGCUAGGGGAAAAAAGCCCUAGGGAUGUCUUAUUCCAUACCUUCCAACAUUUCUCCAAUGAAAAUAGGGACAUUCUAAGGAAAAGCGGGACAUUCUGGGAUCAAAUCAGAAACGGGGGUGGCUUCUGUAAAUCUGGGACUGUAAAGCUGCUAGGAGGCAGGGAAGCAAGGAAUGUGCAAUCAAUCAGGAAUCUGCCUUUUCCCAGGUCAGACACUUUGUCUGUCCAGGUCAGCCUUUCCCUAACAUUGUUCCCUCCAGAUGUUUUUGACUGCAUCUCUCAUCAGCCACAACCAGUGUGGCUGAUGAUCAGGGCUGAUGGGAGUUGUACUCUAAAACCUCCGGAGGACACCAGAUUGGUGAAAUGCUGGUGUAGCCCAAUGUUGCAAUGGUUCUCCAUGAACUCAAGCAGAGGGUCUUUUCAUUUCCUUCCUCAGCCUGGAGAUGCCAGGGACUAAAUCUGCAGCCUCUGGCAUGUGAAACAAAAGUGUUCUUCCGUCACUGAGCUAUGGUCCCUUCCCUUCAAGCUUCAGAACUACAUUAUUCCAGUGACCAUCUGAUGUAAAAGAAGUUAUGCAGACUAAGGUGACCCAGGAAAAAUGAUUUGCCAAGCAGGAGGCAAGGGCUGAAGACCAAUGCCCAAGAAAGACCAUGAAACACCAUGAUAAGCAAAUAGUGAGCAUCCAGCAGCCUUCUGAGAGGACUGUUAAGUCUACCAAGAGACCUGAAAGAGUGGAGAUUUUUACUUUAGGGGUUACAGUAUCCAGGGGGUGUCAACUUGAAUAAAAUAUUGGGCGCUUAGGUAAGCCCUGCCCCACAUAAUCAAUCACAAGAUACAGCACACACCAUCUCAAUGGCAAAGUCCAUCAAUUUUGGGGGAAUCAGCCACCUCAAACAUUUUAGGGGGGCGAAGGGAGCUCAGUCCCUAGGAGUUGGCUCCUAUGAGAUUAUUUUACAGCUGGUAUUAUGAUUUAGAAACAACAGCAAUUGCCGUACUUGCAGUUUCUCAUUGAUCCUAAUUUCAUAAAGUUUAGCAUAGCGAAAGUGUGUUGUCCUGUUCAUGACCACAGACUGUGCUAGCCUGAGACUCCCCUCCCCUAAAAACAUACUCAACACAGCCGUUGUUUUCUGAAUUGAUUUUGCUGUCUCAGCCUCACUAAAGCAUCGAUGCUUUUUUGGCUUCCAACUGAAUGAACAAUUUCCUAGUUAGACACACUGGAUUUGGAGUUGGGUCAAUAAAAGCUUUACUGUGCCCCUUUCUCUUCCCUCACAGAGCAUACAAAAGAGCACUAAAUUCCAUUCAUCCUUUCACUGGCCACUGUGGAAUAUUGAGCAACGCAGUUUUUGGCUUGGAUGAAGAAACAUGGCAAAGAACUGGAAGCGGCACAAAUAGGAAUUUUCUAUUUCCCAUGCUCGCUUGGGGAUGCAUUUGAAUUUCCUGCACUUUUUAACAGUUUGUCUCUGCCACCAAAUUGCUCUGGGAAGCAUAACACAUUAGGUAUCAAAAGAAGGUUUAGCUUAAUCCCGGUGCAUCUUAUGUGGUUAACUGUAAGUUAUUUGCAAAGAAUCCACUGUGAGCGCUACUUGGCAGUUGAUUUAAAUGCCAAGGACUGUAGAACCAGUUUGUGAAAGCUCUCGCUCUCACUUGCACACAUUGGGAAGAGGGGAGGGGAAUGGCGAGCUCUAAGCACUGCAGGUUGGUGCUGUUUUUUUAAAAAAAGAAAGGAAGAUUGUUUUCUUUAAUCCUCCUGAGUAGCAAAGCCAGUUUCUCCUAAAAGUUCUGCAAAAUUGCACAGCUGCUUAUAGCAGAGGUUUUCUACCAGUGUGCUGUGGCACACAGCGUGCCUUGAAUGGUGGUCAUGAGUGCCGUUGGCAACACUGGUCUCUGUCCUUCUUUUUUCCCACCCUCCUCUGAUGCCCUCUUGCAUACGGUUACCAGAUUUUUAUUUUUGGGAAGUUUUAGGGAUGUUUUUAAUAUUUAAUGUUGUAUUGUUUUUAACACUUGAUUGGAAGCUGCCCAGAGUGGCUGGGGAAACUCAGCCAGAUGGGCAGGGUAUAAAUAAAUUAUCAUCAUCAUCAUCAUCAUCAUCAUUAUUAAAGCUGAGAAGCAACAGGGAGUCAGUAGUAGGGAUGGUGAGGCAAAAGACCCUGGGCCCAAGAACACAUGCAUAUUGUACAAAGGUGCAAAGCCCUUCUUUCUCACCCUGUGAAACAUAAAUGCGCAGAGUUUUUAAAAAACCUGGCAACAGUGCGCCACCCGCCCAUGACUCCUGAGCCUCCCCCAAUCUCCUGCCUCCUUUCCUUUGUUUUGACUGAUCGGGGGAGGCUCAGGAGUUGUGGACGGGCUGUCAUUGUCCAGUUUUUUUAAAAAACUCUGUGCAUUUAUGUUUCACAGGGUGCGAAAGAAGGGCUUUGCACCUUGCCUGGCAGAGAAACUGUGCACCUUGCGCCCCCCCCCGGGCAAUGGCUGUCCGCCUGCGACUCCUGAGCCUCCCCCGAUCCAGCAAAACAAAGGGGGAAGGGGGCAGGAGAUCCGUACCGCUGGACAUCCCCGGUUCCCCUUCAGCAGCGAACAGCUCCUGAAGCCAGCCAAACCCAACUGCGCUAGCAAGCUGGCUCUGGGCUGCUGAGGCUGCCGCUGCCAUGUUUCCCGGGGACAGAUUUGCAAAUCUGGGGACUGUUCCUGGGAACCCAGGACGUCUGGUAACCCUAGAAGAAGAGGAAGAAGAGUUUGGAUUUGAUAUCCCACUUUAUCACUACCCUAAGGGGUCUCAAAGUGGCUAACAUUCUCCUUUCCCUUCCUCCCCCACAACAAACACUCUGUGAGGUGAGUGGGGCUGAGAGACUUCAGAGAAGUGUGACUAGCCCAAGGUCACCCAGCAGCUGCAUGUGGAGGAGUGGAGAUGUGAACCCGGUUCACCAGAUUACAAGUCUACCACUCUUAACCACUACACCACACUGGCUCUUGCGUCUCUGCCUCCCAAAGGCUUGCACAACUGUUUGUUGCAGCAGCUCUGGCUACAAGCUCCGCACCGCAGGCGAAUGGUGUCUCAGGGGCUGGUCAGAUGUUGCUGGUUGCCAGGAACUGAGGCAGCCUUGGAGUAAACAAGCAAGCAAGUAGUUGAGGGAGCCCAGCCAGCUGGUCUACCAACCCUUGCUAUUGGGAAUGGACAGACAAGUCCCAGGCCCCUGUGGGGCAAGGCAGGGCAGAUUAGAGACCAAGGGUGGCAGCAGCACCUGCCCAGAGGAGAGGAGAGGAGGCUGAGGGAACACUCCACAAGGGAGGGUGUUUGAAAAGGGUGAAAAGGGUGAGAGGCUGGCAGCUCUGUAGGCAAGGGGUGACAUAACUGGGUUCCUGAGCCCCACAGGGGAACCGCAGAAAGAAUAGAAUUGGUCAAGGGAGCCAUGAACUCAGAAAGGGUGGAAACCUCUGGCUUACAGUGAUCACAUUCAUUGUUAGGCUUAUUCGUUAAAUAUAGAAAUAAAAACAAUGACAACAAGUUCCAGAACAAAAGGUCGCAAGUAGUCAUGGUGACUGACAAUGUUACAGUUACUAGGAACUAGGGAUGGGGCUUUUUUAAAAAAUGAAAAAAGAAAAGAAAGAAUAAUAAUAAUCAUCUCCAUGUUGAACUUAUCCCCAUGGAUGUUUUCUAGUUUUUGUUUUCCUCCUUGAUCUUAAUUAGAAGUGACUUGUUUUUUUACUGGUUCUACUAAAAAUAUGAAUUAUUGCAUAUUAUAUGCACUAUAAUCCUGCUAUACACAGCAAGGUUCCUAAAGGAACCAGCACAAGAACAGAUGCAUGCAACAUUUCAUAUAACUAUAAAAAGCUCUCAGUUACUAAUGCAUGAAAUUAUGCUUACAGAAAUAUAAUACCGAAUGGGAUUGACUCUGUUAUAUUUAUUAUAUGCAUGAUAUACCUCUUUUUUUUUUUGCAUGCAAUUUUACAUUUAACUUGUAUAGAAUUCUUUUGUGUGUUGUUCUUGUUUAAGUUUCACAACGCAUAAGAGGCUUGGAUAUAACUUGGGUGGCCAAUGCAAGAAGAAGGUAAAGGUAAAGGGUAAAGGGACCCCUGACCAUUAGGUCCAGUUGUGGCCGACUCUGGGGUUGCGGCGCUCAUCUCGCUUUAUUGGCCAAGGGAGCUGGCGUUUGUCCGCAGACAGCUUCCAGGUCAUGUGGCCAGCAUGACUAAGCUGCUUCUGGUGAACCAGAGCAGCACACGGAAACGUCAUUUACCUUCCCGCCGGAGCGGUACCUAUUUAUCUACUUGCACUUUGCCGUGCUUUCAAACUGCUAGGUAGGCAGGAGCAGGGACCGAACAAGCUCACUCCGUUGUAUGGAUUCGAACCACCGACCUUCUGAUCGGCAAGUCCUAGGCUCUGUGGUUUAACCCACAGUGCCACCCGUGUCCAUAGCACCAUCAUCCCCACCCAGCCACAAAGCUCACUGGAUGACCUUGGCCCAGUCACCAAGGAUGAAACAGGGAGGAGAACCAUGUGACCACCUUGAAAUCCUUGAGGCAGUGUGUAAAUUUAACAAGCAAACAAACAAAGCUCAACAUAGUAAGCUGUGUAGAAAUCCAUUCAGGGUGGAUUUCCCCUCCAUCCCUGCUAGGAGCAGGAUUGUAUUCAUAAGUAGCUUGCUGGAUACGGCAGGGCUACUUUCUGGCAGGUGUGUUGCUGUCACUUACCAGGAGGUUCAUGGUGGCAGGAAGGACACUGCCAGAGCUCAUUUGCACCAUGCUGACCUCCUCACCAAUUUGACCCUCCAGGAAAGCAACAGAGACCCACCAGUCCAUAAACUAGCAUGGCAGCUCCAUCCUACCUGGUCCCCAUUCUGCUGCACAUCAUUAAAUUGGAGGUGGGGAACUUACACAGGGGAAACGGUAGCUUGCCUAAAUCUGCUUGUUGAGUUUGUGGCCAAGAUGACAUUUCAGCCAGGGGUAUCCCAGAUUUGAUGUCUACUCUUAGCAACUUCAUCACAUAAGAUUUCAGAUCUCUUUUUCUUUUCUUAAAAAAGUUUUCUUUAUAGAUUUUUCAAAAUACCAUCUAAUUUUAAAAAGAAAAAGAAAGAAAAAAGAAAGAGGAAAAAGGAGAAAAGAAAAACGAAAAUUCAACCUAUUUCAAUCAAUUCAUCAAAUACUUUAUUUUAGUCAACUUCCCUUCCACCCUUCCACGGUUUCCUCAAAUUGUUUAUUUCUGCUGCAUAUUCUGCUUAUUCUAAUUAUUCAUACCUCCAUAUUUUUUUCACAUUGCAUUUUUAUUUUUAUUUUACUGCUGAGCUUACUCCAAACCGGCUAGUGUUUUAACAUUCUUACAAUGAUUUCUUAGAUAAUCUACAAAUGGUUUCCAAUCCUCUUUGAAAGCUGUCUCUUCUUGUUCUCUAAUUUUACUUGCUUAACAAGUUUAACAUGAGGUUUGAGUUCAUCUGCUGAUUUUAUUUAUAUUUUUGAUACAAACAAUUAUGUUCACGUGUUUGAUUUUAUUGGUUUUUUUUUAAAAAAAAAUAUUUUAGAUUGUUCUUUGAAAACCACUUAGAGGUUUUUUUGUUGAGUAAGUUGUAUAUACAUUUUGUUAAAUGAAGAAAUAAGUAAAUUGAAUCACCUUAUACUCAAAAUUUAAUCUCUGGUGCAGAAUGAAGUCUCAAGGGAGUAGUCCAACGUCUACUAAACUCCCUACAGGAAAGACCCACCUAAACCCAACACUUUUUUUUCCCAGAAGAGAAUGAAAAUUUUCCUAUUUUGGUAAGCUUUUGCAUGAAGGGUAGCAUUAACUUUCUCAUUGCCAAGGUGAGAGUUUACAAUGUGGAUAUAUGGUGGUUUUUAAGGUUGCUACAUUUUAUUGUAAGCUGAACAAUAUAACACAACACGAUGGCCAAUAACAAUGACACUAAACACUAUUUAUAGACUAAUACAAAUGAUCAGAAUUUACAACCAAAGUCUCUAAAUCUUGACCAAUCACUGUAGAAUAAUUCAAAAGUUCGAUAUAUACAUAAUCUGUCACCAAAUAUCGCCUGGACAGAGUUUCCGAAUAACCAUCUGUUUCAUUCAAUGCUUCAUCAGCCAAUAUUGAUCAAUUCUCCAUCAGCCAGACUUGUAAGAAUUAAUAUGAGAAGGAUGCAGUUCAGUUUCUUAACAAGCCAAUCUUACAUGUAAGCAAAUAUAAACACUGUAGAAAAUAUGCUCUGGAUCAGUGCUCAUAUGAUACUGUAGUCACUGAUGAACUCUGUUCCAGCAAUAUUUGGUGGCAGAUUAUGUAUAUAUCGAACUUUUGAAUUAUUCUGCUGUGAGUGGUGAAGAAGAUUUAGAGACUUUGGUUGAAAUUUCUGAUCAUUUGUAUUAGUCUAUAAAUAGUGCUUAGUGCCGUUGUUAUUUACCAUCGUGUGGUGUUAUAUUGUUCAGCUUGUCUAUAUUGCAACACAGGGGUUCGUUUACAGAUUACAUUUUAUUGUAAGUCAUUUUGGGUUUUCUCUCUUUUAAAAAGAAAAAUAGGUUACAUUUUUAGAAAUAAAUGAAACAGGGCUUUUGAAUUAGAGACUCAAGUUAGAUUUGCAUGACUUAUAUUUCCUCCACAGCAGUCUUUUUUUUCUUUUUUUUUAAUUCAAGAAGUGCUACAACAAAAAAUGGAAUGAUGACUAUUAUUACUAUAGGCAUAGACCCAGAUCAGGGGAAGCAAGGAUGGCGGAAUCAACAGAAUUUAACUGAAGCAAAUCCCAUUCCAUUUGUAAUCUGUAUUUUAUUAUUUUGAUAUGAGGGGGAAGAAAGGAAUGAACUCCAAAAAAGGAAGUUGACCACUUGGGGAGGAGGGGGUGGAGGAGGCAGAACCAGAGAAAAAUAUAAAAUAAAAUAAAAAACAGCUGUUUGGCUUAGGGGAAGAAAAAGUCUUCCCCAGUGACAAAUUUAAAAUCAGAAGGAAAUUGCAUCCAAAGAGAUGGCCAAGUUGAUUGUCUCAGAACUUACAUAAAAUAGUUUGGCAUCAAAGGAGAAGGAAAAGGAAUGUCUCCAAAAUCCAGGAAGCCACAAGGAACCUUCCAGAAACAGAACAAGAAUGAGAGGGAUGUAUAAUGCAGUCCUUUAAGGAGGGGGAAAAACACCCAAGUUUCAAUACAUUUAUUUUUUUAAGCUGCAUUAUUUGUGCAUCUGAUCUGCUGUAUAUCAGCAACAUAUAUUUACUGAUCUGCAGGAAAACAUUAAAGCCAUACGUCCUGUAGCACCAACUGGACCAUUCCCAAUAGCGUUUCAAGAUGGAUUGGGAGGAAGAGCAAAAAUGGAGCCAUGUGUGAAUCUGCUUCUGCCAUAAGAGGAGAACACAUUCUUGGCUUGCUCAGACACCUUCCUGCAGUGUACACAGACUUCAAGUUUUGCAGCACUGAUGGAAUAAACAGGGGAUGUACAAGACUGAAGACCAAUAUCUCAAACUCAGGAACUGAAUGGAAUCCCGUCGCCGGACCCAGUUUUAUAAUAAAACCCAGGCACCCUCUUCUCUACAGUUGGGAAUGGCUGACCUGCUCAUUCCUGUGCUACAUCAGCCAUCACCAUUGCUGCAGUUGACAAGAGGGUGUACUAUAGUAUUCAAUCCAUCAGUCAUCACGUGACCUGAGGAGCCAAUAAUAUCCCAUCCGACCUUACAGACCUGCUAAUCCUUCCUGGCUCUACAGUCUGAGUUAACUGGUUGCUAGCUGCAGGCUGAACUGCAUAUAGACUGCUUGACUCCUAGCUGAACCUCUGUAGGAUGACCGGCUUGCCUGCCUGCCGCUUUCCAGGCUGCUAUUCUUGACAUAUUUUGCAACCCAACACCCAAAACACCAUUAAGUAUCCAAUAAACCAUGCAGUGCUCAUUUUUCUCACGUCUGGACAUUGGGGACUAUUGUAAUGAGAGAGGUGGUGUUGGAUGGAAUUGGUCCGCUCAGUUUUUACCGCAGAAUGGGGAUUAUUGGAGCAUGCCGGUUUCACUCAAGCCUAGUUUGGGCUCAUCACUUAAGCACUGCCUAUAAAGAAACCCAGAGGCAGUGGAAGGUAGCAAAUGGGGCACUGCAUCACCAACUACGUGUUGGCGUCAAUCAAUUCUUGCCUCCCUGCCUUCCUAUUUAUAUCCAGUCCAGGGUCUGGCAUUGCCUGUCAGCUUCCUCCUCCUUAAUCUUCAGGGGCAUUCAGACACAGAGAAUAUCUGUCAGGGACUGGGCAGAGGAGGAAUGGUAGAGACCGCAUCCCCAUUCUGACCCUUCUAGGAAGGAGGAAGAGGAAGACAGUAUAGAUUUACAACAGGGGGUUGAGGGAGCUCACAGCUCAGAGGCAGAUGAGGGGAGAAGCUGGGAAAUCAUGGAAGAGCCAGAACAAUGCCCAGAGGACAGACUGUCAUUAGAAAGCAUUCCAGACCCUCCAACUCCCAGAACCCGGCGAACCUUGAAAGUAGGAGAGCAAACAGCUCAAAGACAGAGGGCAGGUAGCAGCACCCAUAGGAGAAAUGAUGAGAUUGACGAAUGAGGAAGUGGGAGAGACGGGUGGUGGAGAUUCAUUUGGGACAACGCCAUUAUCCAAGAGGCUGGGUUCUAUAGCCUCUCUCUAAAGAUUGAAAUAAAAAAGGACAGAACAGUGGUACCUUGGGUUACAGACGCUUCAGGUUACAGACUCCGCUAACACAGAAAUAGUACCUCAGGUUAAAAACUUUGCUAAGAACACAAAUCGUGCAGUGGUGGUGUGGCAGCAGUGGGAGGCCCCAUUAGCUAAAGUGGUGCUUCAGGUUAAGAACAGUUUCAGGUUAAGAAUGGACCUCCAAAACAAAUUAAGUUCUUAACCCAUGGUACCACUGUAAUAAACUUUUCUUUGUCUUUAUACUUUACUGGGCAACCAGCCAGGAGCCACUGACAGAACCCUGACAAUAUCAGACCCUCCAAGUGUCCCUAUUUUCCAGGGACAAUCUCGGAUUUAUAUAAGCCAUCCCAGUUUCUGAUUUGAUCCUGGAAUAUCCCACUAUUCCUUAGGGCACCCCCAGGGCUUUUUCCCCCUGGGGGUACGCAGGAGUACACAUACCCCUAAACAUUUUGUGAGUCUAAGUUUGGCCUCAUUGAGGGGCAGUAUUUCAGUAUGAGUAGGAAAAUGAGAGUACCCCUUAACAUUUUUUGAGGGGGAAGCACUGGGCAUCCCUGUUUUCAUCAGAGAAAUGUUGGAGGGUAUGAAGUUAUCCAAACCCCCAGGCCAUCUGAAGGCUGAAGUAUAGGGAAGUUUUUUUUAAUGUUUCAUGUUUUAUUAUAUUUUUAUUUAUAUUGAAAGCCAGCCAGAAUCGCUGGGGCAACCCAGUCAGAUGGGUGGGGUAUGAAUAGUAAAAUUGUUGUUGUUGUUGAAUAGGGUAUCCCUAUUUUCAUCGGAGAAAUGUUGGAGGGUAUGGAAUACUGCAGUGGAUUUCCUGAUUAUAAUGCUAGCACUUAUAUGCCAUUUUCCAAGAUUGCUUUCACACCACAUACCUGUUGCAUUAUGGAACUGGGACAUUUUGACCAAUAUACCAGCAUAUCAUGCAAAAUUUCAUUCACAACAAUGAGCGUGGUGUGACACAGUAAUGAACAUCAUUGGACAACACACUUGUUCCCCACCCUUUCGACACAUAAGUGUUUCUGUCCCUGUGAAAUUCACCAUGGCAAACAGCAAGGAAGAACUGGUAUGCCAUUAGCCUAGCAAGAUGUUAAUCUUUUCAGCAGCGUAAGUUAUUACUAAAAUUAAUGGGAGGGGUAGAAUAAGAUUGGGGAAACUAAGAAGACAUGAGAGGAAGUGAAAUAUAAAAGGAACCAAGGAAAGAGAGGAAGAGAAGGUUGUCAAUGAUUGUAUUUUUGAAUGUGAUAGAAUAUGUAAUAUGUAGGUCAUUUUUUUCCUAUUUUCUUAUUACUUUCAGUUUUUUCUUCUGUUGAAAUGUACCAGAAAUGCAAAUAGAAGAAGAAGAAGAAGAAGAAGAAGAAGAAGAAGAAGUGGUAUGCUGGUAUGUCACUCUGAAUUUUGUCACUUUAUCCCCUUGUCUUAAUGUGGUUGCAGACAGAUUUUUUUUUUCUCUGGAAGUGAUUAGCAUGGAAAUGAGUACUACACUUUCACUAGAUUAGUCUAGAUUUCUGGAAAUGGCAUUUAUGCCAUGAGAAAGUUCAAAUAUAACACAGAAAAUAGCAACUAGUGAUUUGCUGGGGAAACGGAAUAUGCUGCCAUGUGAAUUCAGACAUAAUAUUGCUCUUAUGGAACUCAGCAGAGGCAGACAGGGACAAAGCCACUUCCGACGUAGAAAGGAGGUGGGGUUGCAGGCUUCACCCUCCCACCAUGCGCGCGGGGGCUGGCUCUCAGCCUCCGCGCGAUUGAGGGAAUCCCUGAUCGCGUCAUCCCCUGGCCAGCCAAUCGGCUGGCCUGGGGGCGUGGCCUGCUCCAUUUAAUGCAGGGGCGGCCGGGGAUCUCCCUCUUUGCCGCUUCCAGCUGCUCCAGUUUCCCACCCUCCCGCCCUUUAAGGUUUUUUCGUCUUUGACCUUGCUAUGGACCUCGGUUGGUCGCCAUUAAGGGGCCUGGUAGGAAUUUUUCCACUUGGCAAAUUGGCACCAGCCACUUGGUUUUUCACCUACCUUGUAGCAAAUCGUCACAACUUCCUUGGUAUUGGCGGUUAGGCAUUGGUAUUGGUAUUAUUAUGUAGAUGGAAGGGGGGAAGGAAGCGCCAUCACCUCCCCCGCAUAUUGAAGGGUAGUCCGAUAAAGGAUUCUGGGGGCGUGGCCCUGUCCGAAGCCUAGGGAGGUUAGGGCCUAAGGCACGCCCCCUAUCGGUGACCCCCGGGGAGUUCCUAGUUGAUGUGCAUCAGCAGGACUCCCCCUACUGGUGGUUAACCCUUCCCGGACUUCAAGCAAUUGGGCUGAAGCUGCAGUCGAUUAGGACCAAUGCCUAAGCCAAUACCGCUCAUCACCUGUAACCAAUAAAGUUGUGGCCAUAUUUAGCCCAUUAACCUUAAAUAUCUGUGUCAUGUGUCUUUAUUUCCACUGGGGGGAGGCGGGAACUCGCCACGCAAAUACCUGCCACUCCAGACUCAAAUAUUGAAAAAUCUCACAGUUUUGCAGAAACUAAGUUUUGCAAAAUGCUUGCUAUCUCGGCUGAUAAGGGUUAAAAACAAAAAAAAUAUAUAAACUCCGCAGAAUUGGAAUAUUCUUUUCCAUUUCUCCAAACUCCAGAAAUAUUUCCUUGCUAACAGGAAGCUCUUGCUUUACAUAGACACUGGGCUUCAUCAGAAGAAUGUCAGGUUUUGAUUUUGUUUGUUUCUUUUUUUGCAUGCGUGUGUCUUUCUUUAUUUCCCCCUAUAGGCAGAAUACCUUGCCAAUAUUAUAUGUUCCCCUCCACUUUCCGGCUUUAAACUGAGAACCAGAUGUGCUGAAGGAAUAGGAAAACAGUCAGCAUGGACAAUAGAUUUUAUUUCUUAAAAAAACAACAACCAACCCUCCUCCUCCAAUUCAUCUUAGGGUUCACCCUUCCCCACAGCUACUUCCAAAUUAAAAUCCAUAUAACAGCUGAGCCCUUCACAUUUCAUUACGCAGGGGAAAGGCUUUAUUAAAAGCAGGUACAAGCAGAUAGAGCGGAAAAUCCUAGGGUUUGGGGUGCAGUCAUUACUUAUAUUAAGGAUCAUUGCCAAGCAAGCCAUUCUGCAUCUCCUUCUUGGUUCACCUUCCUGGCAUUCAAAAGUACUAAAGGCUCUAUGUAAAUGGACGAAAGGCUUGUAUUCCUAAAGUGAAGAUGGACCCAAUUUCCUUUGGCCUAGAGAAAUUUAAUCCAACCCAGUUUUAUUAAUAAUUGAAUCCUUCUGGGUGCCCCCCCCCCCAAAAUAACAAAGAUAACCAUGGGUAGAGUAAGUUUGCAUUGACAAGUACAGCAGUGCUUUUUAAAAGAGAGUCUGGGGCCUUGCUUACAUCACCUCCAAGUGCUCCUAUUUUCCAGGGACAGUCCCAGAUUUACAGAUGCCAUCCCGGUUUCUGAUUUGAUCCUGGAAUGUCCUUCAUUUCCUUAGCAUGUCCCUGUUUUCAUCAGAGAAAUAUUGGAGGGUAUGGAGUUAGCCGACCCCUGAGCCAUCUUAAAGCAGCCCUGUAUAGGGAAGUUUUCUCGGUUUGAUAUCUUAUUAUGUUUUUAUAUAUGUUGGAAGUCCUACCCAGAGUACGUGGGGCAAUCCAGUCAGAUGAUGGAAUAGGACGUCCCUAUUUUCAUUGGAGAAAUGUUGGAGGGUAGGUGCUUCAUUUAAUAUGUCUCUCUUUAACAGUCCCCGCUGUUCAGAGACUCUGUACUUAGUGGUUGCAGCAAUGAAAUCUGCACUCACGGGCACUCAUCUUUGUUCUUAUUUUACAUCUUCCUCAUUUAGGCCUGGAAUUGAUUAAAUCAUGCACUCCUACAGGGCCUUUUAAGUUGAGGCACCAAGGUUUUAGAAUCCCUUACCCCAGGAGACCCACUUGCCUUCCUUUUAAUGGCAUUCCUAUACGUUCCCACCAACCUAUGUUGUUCUGUGGCACCUUUGAUUUAGUUUUUCCUUCUAUUAUGUAUUUUUUUAAAAAAGAAAAUCCAUUGUCUGGAUUUUAACUCGUUCCCCCCAUUUACUUUUAUAGAUUCUACAUUGCUUUUUUAAGGGACGUGGGAGCUGCUUUGGGGAACGAAAGGAGGGAUAUACAGUGGUACCACACACACACACACACACCCACACACACCCCAUUGGUUCAUCUAACACAUUGAGUUCUCAAUCUCAGCUCGUCCUUUGGUUUUAGCCAUUCCAAUGGAAGAGGUGUAUUGUGAUUGUGGCUGAAGGUCUACCACUUUUGCAUGCCCGACUUUGAUAUUUUGGACAUUUUUGGGUGUGGAAGCUUGCCUCUUCCCUCCUCCUCUACCCACAUAUAUGUACACUGAGAGAUACAAGGAGGACCUAAAACAAAACAUUGCACUCUAGAACGCUCCUUUUCAGAUUUUCAACUACUCCCUCCAAAUCAGCUUUCCAUCGUUUUAAUGAUGAGUAUGUUGGGGUUAGCCUUUGGACUGCUUCCUCCCUUAGAAAAAUUUCCUUUUUUACUUCUCCAAACAUUGAAGUUCACCCCAAUUUUGCGGAUACUUCCUUCUGGCGUGUCAAUGAUGCUAGCGCAGGGCAGGGUUGGUUACAUACAGACUAAGGAUGGGGAAGAAAUUUGGUUCAGUUUGCAUUCUAAUGCGAACCUACCUACCUCACCUUGUCCAAAGCAAUAUCCAAACCAAAACACAGCUGUCCUUCAAAAUUCGCACUUCCCCAAAUUUCGCAGUGCAAUUCUCCAAUGAAAUUAGGAGUGCAAAAUAAAGAAGUAUCUAUUGGGGAAAAUUCACACAAAUAUGCCAACAAACGUUCAUGAGAACUUUUAAAAAAUAACAAUCACAAACUGAUGUUGAAAUGUGGAGAAGUGAGCUUAUUUUUAGGGGGGGGAUGAGAGAAACCAAAGCUGUCAGGUUCAUCCAUCACUAAAGGAAUAGAACACAGAAAAUCGAGUUCCCAGUCUGUAUAUAUGAGAAAAACACCCCAUAACUCAGCAAUAAUUUAUUUUCACAAUAAUCCUGUAAAUUCUCCCUCCCCAAAGACACGCAUACCUUUCUACUGUUUCAGGAAAAUAUGCAAACACUAGCUUACAUUGUUUUAUUGAUGUUUGUUGUUGUCGAUAUGUAAUGAUCACACUGAUUAGGGUAAGUAACACCAAGGAACCUGGUUAUUUAUUUAAAAGAUUGGAACAAACUGAAUAACACUAAGUUUUUUUCAGUGAAUGCUGACAUCUACCGCAGGCCCUUUUCACAUAUUUUGUCCAGUCCUUGACUGGCAGAGUGAAUGUCUGCAUUGUGGAGAAGCAAUUUCAUUCACUGAUUAUUACCUCCGGUCUGAGUGCAGCAAAACAAUCUCCAACAACAUCUGUUAAUGUCAGCAGGAAAGCUUUUCCUAUCCUAAUUGUAUCAAGGUAGGAUGUGAAAUGUGUUGAAUCAUUACAUAAAUUAUAGCUGCCUUGCCGAAUGCAUCCAGUAUUCCGGACAUCACUUAAUGGUCAUUUAUGAGACAGGCGCCCCACUAUAACUGAGCAUUAAUUCAUCAAACAAACUCAGAUUUAUUUGUUAAGAAAGAAAUACUCAGCCACUCAGCAACCUAGAAGCUAGCCAACUGCUUUAAAGCUGGUAGACUGCAUUUCAUCUAAAUGAUUAGAAAGCAAUUUGGGGAUAUUCGUUCAUUUUCUUUCAUAUACUGGCAACAAAAUAACCUACAAUAAAUUUGGUCUCUUAAAUGUAGCAUUUAUUUUAUUUUAUUACUAAUUUCACCACUUCUAUUUCUCCAAAGGCUCGUGAUUUAGCACAUAAACUGAUAUUAUGUUCAUUCCACUUCCACCAAUAGUAGAAGGUUCCAGAACCUUUUUACAGGGUCAGCUUCCUUGUAAUAGUUGGAGCUAGCUGAACUCCACAGCACCAUCAACCCAGAAUCCUAAUAUUCUGGAACAAUGGUUUGUAAAAACUUGAAUUCACAGUGAAAUAUGUUCGAGAUCAAUUCAUUUGUGUGUGUUUGCUUAGGAUUCUUAUAGCUCAGGCAUCUAUAUGGGAUUUCUGGGGCCCAUUGGACUUUACUGUCAUAGUCAAAGCAACAGGAGGGAUCAAACUUAAUUAACAUUCAAUUUAAACAGAAAUUGUCGCUUAGAUCACACGCACCCCUAUUGUGCAUGUACACAUUCAUAGGUUUUACUGUAGUUAUAUAUAUAUAUAUUUCCUUAUUUAGCACACAUGCAACAUUCUUAGGCACCGCCAAAGAGGACACGGUCUUGCAUGAUAUUUGCAGAUGUUAUUGUACAAAUAAUUUUUAUCAUUUAUCUGGAAAAACAAUACAUCUCACAAGCAUGGAGAAAACUUUGUCACCAUUCAUGAACAAGAAGGAAGCAUCAGCAAAAGCUCAGGGAAGCAGUAGCAUUUAGGUAAAGGUAAAGGGACCCCUGACCAUUAGGUCCAGUCAUGGCUGACUCUGGAGUUGCGGCGCUCAUCUCGCUUUAUUGGCCGAGGAGCCGGCAUACAGCUUCCAGGUCAUGUGGCCAGCAUGACUAAGCCGCUUCUGGCGAACCAGAGCAGCACACGGAAACGCCGUUUACCUUCCCGCCGGAGCGGGAAUAUACCUACCGGUAUUUAUCUACUUGCACUUUGACGUGCUUUCGAACUGCUAGGUGGGCAGGAGCUGGGACUGAGCAACGGGAGCUCACCCCGUUGCAGGGAUUUGAACUGCUGACCUUCUGAUCAGCAAGUCCUAGGCUCUGUGGUUUAACCCACAGUGCCACCCACAGUGUCCAAAUAUAGGUAUCAUACAGUGUCCAAAUAUAGGUAUCAUACAAUGGAAGAGGAUGCGCAAACUACUCUAUCAAAAUUGUUCUCUUUUUUCUGAUAGCUGGAAAUGAGAAUAUCAAUCACAAAGUCUCCAUUACUAUAUGUAACAUUUGAGAGCCCAACUCCAAACUGUCUUUUUUAAGCCAAAGGCCUGAGCCCCUUUGUUCAAAUUAGAUUACGAUAUACAACUUGUACCCCAGUGUGCAUCAGCAAACCACCUAAAACCUGAGUAAAGAAACUUCUCCACAACUACCUUCAUCUUGGAUCAAUCACCCAAUGAACUGUGUAAAGCAUUCUAGGCACAUAGGGCUCGGACAACAUGGCCAGAUGUAAGUACCUAGAAUAUGCCCUUUGACCUUUCGGUUAUGCUCCAUUUUGCUCUUGGGCAACUCCUGUUGAGAAGAUCCUGCAGAGCAGAUUUUCUGUGCAUCACCUGCUGUGGGUUCUUGCAGCCCCAGGAAUUCAUGCAGGGCCCAUCUGGUGGGUAAAUAUUAAGGUAACCUGGAGGUUGGCCACGUCGGUUUAAAAUAUGCAGGUGGCAGAAUCAUUAUGCCAGGACGUGCUAUCACAAACACAGUGCUGAAGCCCUCUUAUUGUUUAGUUACCUUAUGUUCUGUGCUGCAUUAACAUAAAGCAAACAGAUCCAGUGGUCCAAGACUCAAUUUUAAUCAUAUCAAAUGGCUCACUCUUCCCAGCUGGAGGCCUCACUUAUAUUAAAAAUGUGUUCAUUUUGUUCAAAAUAUAUUCAUUAUUGGGCACCCCCCCCCUCAAUGCGUGCCUUUUUGUAACUAUUCCUUGUUUGAAAAACUGCAUCGCAAAAUUCAAAUCAGUGUGAAUUUUGGAGCAUGGCUGUGUUUGGGUUCUCAAAUUGCUUCCGAAUGUGAGCACUUGAUUGAUUUGCCUUUAAAUGUGAGCUGAAUCAAAAUUCUCUCUUAUACCUAGCCAUCAUCACAGCCUUAUCCUCCAUGAAUGUGUCUCAUCUUGUUUUAUAGCUAUCCAAGUUGGUGGACAUUGUGGCCUCUUGUGGGAGCAAGUUACUGUGUGCUGUGUGAAAAACUGCAUUCUUUUGUUUGUCCUGAAUCUUUUGAGCUUCAGCUUCAUUGCUAUAUACCUGAAGGAGCGUCUCCACCCCCAUCGUUCAGCCAGGACACUAGGUCCAGCUCCAAGGGCCUUCUGGCAGUUCCCUCACUGCGAGAAGUGAGGUUACAGGGAACCAGGCAGAGGGCCUUCUCGGUAGUGGUGCCCUCCCUGUGGAAUGCCCUCCCUUCAGAUGUCAAGGAGAUAACUAUCUGACCUUUAGAAGACAUUUGAAGGCAGCCCUGUAUCGGAAGGUUUUUAAUGCUUGAUGUUUUUAUUAUGCUUUUAGAGAUCCUGUAAGGCACCCAGAGUGGUUGGGAAACCCAGCCAGAUGGGCAGGGUAUAAAUAUUAAAGUUGUUGUCGUUGCUGUUAUUAACACUUAAGAAAGCUGACAUAGUCACUCAUGAUGGUGGUGGUGAGUGGUUGGGGAGGGAGAAUUGUACCUCUUUUGGUGAGUGAUUCUCACACUGCAAUCCCUCUUAGAAAUGCAACAUUUCAACUUAUUCAGUCUCAGAUGUACAGUUCAAAGGGAACUGUAUUGGGAAACAUUUCCGCAGCAAUAACUGGGUGUGAGAUCAUAGAAAUGGGAAUUAAGAAACAUUUUCGACUCGGAAUGGCAUUUUCAACUUGGAUUCGGCACAUCUGUCUUGUGCAAAACCAGACUGGGCCGCGAGAGUUCUGGUAGCACAAGGAUGGAAGACUGAAGAAACCCCAACUAAAGAAUCAUGGCAAGAAAAAUUGAUGGACUAUGCAGAACUGGCAAAACUGACAUAUAAGCUAUGGGACAAGGAUAACUGUGACUUUAAGGAUGAAUGGGAACCCUUUACAAAGUAUCUGAAGAAGCAACAAAGCGAACUGGACUCCUUGGCAGGUUUUGAAUAAACAUUCACAAACUUUUUAUUGAUAAUAAUCAGCUAAAUAGUUUGAGGAUCUAUACAACUUUGUAACAUGCAGAAAACAGCAUUCUUAGAGAAACCAAAGACUGGAACUGAGGAAGUCGGGGUGGGGUGGGGGUGGGUGGGUUUUUUGUGGGGGGGGGAGGGAGGAAAAUGGGGGGAAACAAGGAUGAUAUGUUUUUGGAUAAUAUGUCUUGUUAUAAUUUUGAAUUUUAAUUUUUUUUAAAAAAAAAAACCAGACUGCAGGUUUUGUGCAUUUAUAGCAGGGGUAGGGAACCUGUGACCUUCCGGUCAUUGUUAGAUACCAGCUUGCUUCAGCCCCAGCCAGCAGCUUGGCCCAUGGUCAAGGAUGGUGGGAGUUGUAGUUCAGCAAAAUCUGGAGUGCAAAAGAUUCCCCACCCCUUGCAUAGAGCAAUGGGAAACAUUACAGGUGACCGUAGUCUGUAGCACUGAACUCUAACGUAUUUCUUGGCACACUUUUGCAGAGCUGAACCUGGCAUGGUUUGGCGUGGAUACUUUGGGCCUGGUUGAAAGUGCAUCAGGAAAACUCAACUAUAGCAGAUGCUGUUGUGCACAAGGCCCUGCACCAUGACACAUUGGAGCAACUUCCAAUGGCUUUUGUGAGUUCUUUAAAAAAAAAAGUUACGAAUAAAAGAUGUCAUCUGUUUAUAAUAUGCAAUAUAAUCCAGGGAGAGUUGAAAAAGCAAAUGUUUUCUGGCGAGCAAUGCCUUUCGGGCCAUCUCAUUAGCUCCACAUAAAAUGAAAUCAAUAUUUUUUCAUCACACUUUAAGACUUUCUUUUCCCUCUACAAAAAAUAAUUUAAUAGCCCUGAAUUGUUUUACAACUUCCACCUCUCCCCCCCUACCCGCCACAACCUCCCCUGCUUUCAUACGACUUUUGUCUUCACUCCGGAAACAGACAUUUAAUGAGCUUGUUUGCCGCUCGCACCUUCUGCACAUGGUGAAAAGAUAGUUCAACUGCCCUGGUUUGCAUGCCAACAGCUGUUGAUGAAAAACAGGUCCACAUAUUUGAGAAGAAUGAUGAAUGGAAGCUCAUGCUUGCCUUUUGCUAAUGGCCCAUCAGGAAAAUACUUCAUCUUCUGUUAAAAAAAAUAAAAUAGAAAAAAAUCUUGCCACAACAGGAUAGUUUGCUUAACUCACUGGGGAUGUAAAUAGCUGAAACUAAUCCUCUAGUCUUAAAAAAAUUAACUGUAAAAAAAACCACAACCCUUUGCAUUUAUUUGUUUGGUCUCCUUUACAAUUCGCAUAAUCAGAAGCUUCCUCUUGUGAUAUUUGAAAUCUAUAAUCAUUGCUGACAAUGAGGUGUUCAAAUUAAAUUAUGCAAUGACCCCUGAACAAAACACAGCUGCAACGGAGCGAAAUGAGCACAAAGGAAGAAGGAGAGCAAUUUGUAUGAAGCGAGGUUGGGUUUCAGAGAACUUCCUGGUACUGUCAGUCUCCAACUUUCCCCACAAAGGAAUUAAACAGUUGUGCUUUGGGCCAAGGGCCAAAUGAGACAAUAAACAUGUAGCUGCCAUCAAAUCCAGCAGUCACAUGUCUGGUUCCUCCCUCCCAUCUAUAAAGUCUAGUAGAAGUUAUCCAUGCCCUCAGGGAAGGGCCAUAAUUCAGUGGCAAAGCGUUUGCUUUGUGGGCAAAAGGUUUGGAGUUCAAUCUAUCGCAUCUCCAGGUAGGACUGGGAUAUUUCUCUGCCUGAAUCCCUGGACAACUGCCACCAGCCUCUGUGUAGAUUAAGCAGGACAGCCCAAUGGAAAAGGAAAAGGCUGGGCAUAACAAGACUUUUAUGUUGGGG